CCCCCCCCCUAAAAAUUCCUUGAAACUUUGAGCUCUUCUACCAGAAUGAGGUGGAACUAGCAAGGGGCUUCUCCAGACCUUUUCUUCUUGAUUCUGUGCUAGUUUUACCCAGCUAGUCCCAGCAACAGAAUAGAAAGUGACAAAAUCCUCUCGGUCUCUCUGCCAGAAUGAGGUGGAACUAGCAAGGGGCUUCUCCAGACCUUUUCUUCUUGAUUCUGUGCUAGUUUUACCCAGCUAGUCCCAGCAACAGAAUAGAAAGUGACAAAAUCCUCUCGGUCUCUCUGCCUGCCUUCCUCCAUAUGAAAGAUUUUCAGAACAAAACAAAACAAAACAUAGAAUAUAUUAAAAGACACCAUACCUGUUGAACCAUGAACAGGGAAAAAUAACGCCUCACUAAUGGGGGCUUUCUAAAUGAAUAAUACACUUCUCCUCCCCCUGGAUAAAUUCAUUGAAAUGCUAACCUACCCUAUUUCUCUGCCCACAAAUGUGGUGAAGAGUUUUGAGGGGCCUUUUGCACAGAGCUCAGAUAAAAACAUACCAACGGCAAGAGGACCAGUACAAAUAAUAUUUGUAAAGGCCUUGAAGGACAAAAAGAUAUUCACUUGGUGGUGAGAAUAGGUGCCAGAUGAGCCCCACCCCCAGAAGAAGACAAGGCACUGAGGCCAUAAAGACCCCCCUCUUACAUCAGACAUAUCUAAGAAGUUGGGGUACCCAGAAGAGGGUCUCCAACAUGAUUUGGCUUAUCCUAAAUAACAGCUUUGCUCCUAGCAAGCAUGUCAAAUGAUACAUUAACCACAAAUAUAAAGGCAACCUACACAAAGACAGGAAGGCAAACUGUACACAGGGAUGGGGAGAAAUUUUAUUCUCUUUCCUAAUAAUAAUAAUAAUAAUAAUAAUAAUAAUAAUAAUUUAUACCCUGCCAAUCUGACUCUGGGCAGCUUCCAACAAAAGAUUAAAAUACAAUAAUUCAUCAAAUACUGUAUUAAAAAAUUCCCUAAACAGGACUACCUUCAGAUGUCUUCUAAAAGUCAGAUAGUUGUUUAUUUCUUUGAUAUCUGAUUGGAGGGCAUUCCACAGGGCGGGUGCCACUACCGAGAAGGCCCUCUCCCUGGUACCCUGUAACCUCACUUCUCACAGUGAGGGGACCACCAGAAGGCCCUCAGCGCUGGACCUCAGUGAAUCUACCUAUUUUGAACUUUUUGUAACAAUAUGUGAACCAAAUGCAGCCGUCUUUUGAAAUUCACUCUCCUCUGAAUUUUGCAAUGCAGUUCUGCAGCAAAGUAAUGUGUACAAAAUUGCAGAAAAAUAUUGAAUAAAAUGUGCAUAAAAAUGACUAUAACAGAAUACAAUAAUGGUUUGUGUUAGGGAUAAUUGCUUUGGGAAAACUGUAUAUUAGGAGAAAUCCACACUAAAGUCCUGGUGCAGAUAUGAGAAGAGCUGAAUUGAAGGGUGAGAAAAAGAGAAACAGAGAGAAAUUUAAAAUGAUGGAUUCAUCCAUCCCUAUGGACAUAUCAGUCCUCUAUACUUUCUGUGCCCGGAACCAAGGCUAGCAACACACACACAACGUAAAUGAAGAUUAAGCUAAGAAGCACAUUUUUGUUUGAUCUUCCUAUUAUGUUUUUUUUAACAAAUACAAUACAAUACAACAGAAUAAAGAGAACUAGCAAACAAUUGGGUCACAGAUUUAUAAAAGUGUAUCUGCCCAAUGCAAAAGCAUGGCACUUUUACCCCUGGCCCUUCGUAUUCGGUGGAAUUGCCUACAAUUUAGCCAGCCACAAUGUGGGGAAAAUAGGUAUUGGCAGAAUAAAUCCCUCCAGAUCUGUCCCAGUGUUGGUGGAUUCAACAAAGCUAUCGCAUUCUUUGUAAGUGAGUGGGUCUCUGUUUGUCCUUCAGCAAUGCUUACUGGACUCAUCAGCUUCUCUGGAAGGCCAGGUUCUACACUCCGUUGUAUCAUGCAUUUAAUGAGUGUUUCACCAGUGCUUAGCAAUGUCAUUCCAUGCCACCAAUAAGAGAAAACAUACAAAUUCUUUGGACCUGAUAUUUGGGUUAGAACCUUCAAACAUGCCUGACAAAGCCAAUCCAUCUGACAGCACAAUGUUUGUUGUUGUUUAGUCGUUUAGUCGUGUCCGACUCUUCGUGACCCCAUGGAGCAGAGCACGCCAGGCACCUCUGUUCUCCACUGCCUCCCGCAGUUUGGUCAAACUCAUGCUGGUAACCUCGAAAACACUAUCCAACCAUCUCGUCCUCUGUCGCCCCCUUCUCCUUGUGCCCUCCAUCUUUCCCAACAUCUGGGUCUUCUCCAGGGAGUCUUCUCUUCUCAUGAGGUGGCCAAAGUACUGGAGCCUCAGCUUCACGAUCUGUCCUUCCAGUGAGCACUCAGGGCUGAUUUCCUUAAGAAUGGAUAGGUUUGAUCUUCUUGCAGUCCAUGGGACUCUCAAGACUCUCAAGGGUAUAUGAGACAUCUGUAUCUUUCUGGUAUAAUUCCUCUGUGUAUUCUUGCCACCUCUUCUUGAUGUCUUCUGCUUCUGUUAGGUCCUUUCCACUUUUGUCCUUUAUUAUGGUAAUCUUUGUACGAAAUGUUCCUUUCAUAUCUCCAAUUUUCUUGAACACAUCUCUGGUUCUUCCCAUUCUAUUGCUUUCCUCUAUUUCUUUGCAUUGCUCGUUUAAGAAGGCCUUCUUGUCUCUCCUUGCUAUUCUUUGGAAAUCUGCAUUCAAUUUCCUGUAUCUUUCACUAUCUCCCUCGCAUUUUGCUUGCCUUCUCUCCCCCGCUAUUUGUAAGGCCUCUUUGGACAGCCACUUUGCUUUCUUGCAUUUCCUUUUCAUUGGGAUGGUUUUCGUUGCUGCUUCCUGUAUAAUGUUGCGAGCCUCCAUCCAUAGUUCUUCAGGCACUCUGUCCACCAAAUCUAAAUCCUUAAACCUGUUCCUCACUUCCACUGUGUAUUCAUAAGGAAUUUGAUUUAGAUUGCAUCUUACCGACCCAGUGGUUUUUCCUACUUUCUUCAGUUUAAGCUUGAAUUUUGCUAUAAGAAGCUGAUGAUCUGAGCCACAGUCAGCUCCAGGUCUUGUUUUUGCUGACUGUAUAGAGCCUCUCCAUCUUUGGCUGCAGAGAAUAUAAUCAAUCUGAUUUCGAUGCUGCCCAUCUGGUGAUGUCCAUGUGUAGAGUCGUCUCUUGUGUUGUUGGAAAAGCGUGUUUGUGAUGACCAGCUUAUUCUCUUGACAGAACUCUAUUAGCCUUUGCCCUGCUUCGUUUUGAUCUCCAAGGCCAAACUUGCCAGUUGUUCCUUUUAUCUCUUGACUCCCUACUUUAGCAUUCCAAUCCCGUAUAAUGAGAAGAACAUCCUUCUUUGGUGUCACUUCUAUAAGGUGUUGUAAGUCUUCAUAGAAUUGGUCAAUUUCAGUUUCUUCAGCACCAGUAGUUGGUGCAUAAACUUGGAUUACUGUGAUGUUAAAAGGUCUGCCUUGGAUUCGUAUCGAGAUCAUUCUAUCAUUUUUGAGAUUGCAUCCCAGUACAGCUUUCGCCACUCUUUUGUUGACUAUGAGGGCCACUCCAUUUCUUUUACGGGUUUCUUGCCCACAGUAGUAGAUAUGAUGGUCAUCCGAACUGAAUUCACCCAUUCCCGUCCAUUUUAGUUCACUGAUGCCCAGGAUGUCAAUAUUUAUUCUUGCCAUCUCAUUUUUGACCACAUCCAACUUACCCAGGUUCAUGGUUCUUACAUUCCAGGUUCCUAUGCAAUAUUUUUCUUUACAGCAUUAGACUUUCCUUUCACUUCCAGGCAUAUCCGCAACUGAGCGUCCUUUCGGCUUUGGCCCAGCCGCUUCAUCAGCUCUGGAUCUACUUGUACUUGCCCUCCGCUCUUCCCCAGUAGCAUGUUGGAUGCCUUCCGACCUGAGGGGCCCAUCUUCCAGCGUCAUAACUUUUAUAUGCCUGUUGUCUUUGUCCAUGGAGUUUUCUUGGCAGGAUACUGGAGUGGCUUGCCGGUUCCUCCUCCAGGUGGAUCACGUUUGGUCAAAACUCUCCACUAUGACCUGUUCAUCUUGGGUGCCCUGCUCGGCAUAGUUCAUAGCUUCUCUGAGUUCUUCAAGCCCCUUCACCACGGCAAGGCAGUGAUCCAUGAAGGGGGACAGCACAAUAGUUCAUCCAAUAAUCCAUGCUUACAAUGGCCUGGCUGGCCAGCUUUAUUGUAUGAACUACUUUAAAACAUUGUCCUUUUUGUCUGCGCAUGUCCCCUUAUGGGCUUUGCUCUGGGCAAGCACCCUCUUUUUACUGACUAAUGCAUGCUCUAAUGUGGAUGGCUCAGAAGAUCUGCCUUCCAAAUAUAGCCCCUUGCUGCCUAAAAGCCAUAACUCCACCAGCAAUAAGUACCAGCAGAUUAUUUUAUAGUCUUUUAACAGAGCGGCCCUACUCAAUAAACUCCAAUGUUCCUUCUAAUUAGGAGCACUUAAAGCCCGAAACCAUGUGUUCCGCUGCUUUUUAAAAUAUCAGUAUUUUAAGGGCUCCUGACUAUAAUUACUGCUGUAGGUUUAAUACAACGAAGUUAAUGGUAUUCAAGAGAGUUUUGGUGGAGGCAGGUUAAAGACCAUCAUCCAGCAUCAUCGAAGUCCUGCUGCGGGAAAUGCCUGGAAAAUAAUGGAUUCUUUAUAACUCCAAACUGUUCCUCGGUCUGCUCAUUCAUUUUAAUCUGCUUAAAGUAUCUUAGCCAGUGUCAACAUCUUAAGAACUGCUUCAUCAGCUUAUCUGCCUUGCGAGGGAGGAGUACAACUCGGGACAUUGUUGCUGGAGAACACAGCAUUAGGCACGCCAUAAGAAAAGACAACAUAUCCAAAAGCGGUAAACAUUUGCGGAACCAAGAAUGGGGAGAUUUAGGGUGAAAUCCCAACUCCCUGUUGCUGCCAGAGGGGCUCUGUGGAGCAGUGGAGCCAUGUUCAAGUCUGCAGCCCUGCUGUUCUCAGAGACAGCAAUGGAAGGGAUGAGAGGCAUAUCAGGCCUGAUGCUGGUCAGCACCACUUGUGAGAUUGUCUUGGGAACCAAUAGAUUCCAGACUGGUGUGGUGUAGUGGUUAAGAGUGGUAGAUUCGUAAUCUGGUGAACCGGGUUCGCUUCCCCUCUCCUCCACAUGCAGCUGCUGGGUGACCUUGGGCUAGUCACACUUCUCUGAAGUCUCUCACCCCCACUCACCUCACAGAGUGUUUGUUGUGGGGGAGGAAGGGAAAGGAGAAUGUUAGCCGCUUUGAGACUCCUGCAGGUAGUGAUAAAGCGGGAUAUCAAAUCCAAACUCUUCUUCUUCUUCUUGGAACAACUCAUUUCAGGGCUUUCCAUCAGGCUUUGCUGGAAGGAAUACAAUCAGUGAGCCACCCACCUAUACAAAUAUUCAGUGCUUUUUUUUACUGUCUAAAAUAACAUUUUUAUGUAUUUCCCCCUAAAAUAAGAAUUUUGUAAACUUUUGGGGUGGGGGCAAGCAGAGAAUGGUAUCACAAAAUUUGGAGAUAUGAACAGUCUAAAGUAUGCCUGCAUUCCAAUGUGUGCAAUAGUCCUGGAUAGCGAUGUCAGAGGGUUCUGAGGAAAACUGCCCGUAUUCACUUACUUGCCCUAUGUUUGGAAUGAAAAUCAAUCCAGUGAAUAUUAUUGGUAUUUGCUACUGUUGUUGUUUUAGUCAGCAAAUGAUACCUAAUCGGUUGUCGUUCCCCCAACUCAUCCCAUUUGCAUUACAUUUCCUUUGCGCUAAAAUGAAUGGGGUGGAUUAACAAUUUUGUACAUUACAUAAGUUACGUAAUUUUGCCACAGCAGAGAAUGAGACAAAUAAGGCAGAAUACGAACUGCAGUGGAAUGGAAACAGUGCUACAUGCAGUGAAUACAGGGUGGAAUGCAAAAUGAUGUCUUUUUACAUCCCUAGACCUAGAUGUGUGAGUUAUGCUGGUUUGCUUAACAAAAGCAAAAUUUUAACAAAAUUAUCUUCCAUCUGUAACCUGUGCAAAAAAAGUAUGAACAAGGAAUUGACAAAUGCAACACAGGCUGCUUAUCCUUGAAGACAGCUUAAUAUAUAGGCCAAUUCUGCAGCUUCCUCUCACAAGCAUUGCAUAUGCCUGAUCCUAGACUUCAGGCAGCCCAAAGACUUAUAAAGAAAGCAAAAUAGAUUUCAUUUCUUAAGUGUCAAUAAAAUAGAAGCUAUUAAAUACAAAUAUUAGUUACUUCCUAACUACAAACAAACCCAUGAUUGGAAGGGACUGAGGUAAGCAAUAUCCCCUUUAUUCAUUCAUUCAUUUAUUUUAAAGGAAUGAAUUUAACUUUGUCUCUCCUAAACUGGGGAGGGAAAUGAUUAGGUUCUGAAACCAAGCUAGAUACACACAUUUCCCAUUACCAGGCUUUCCCAUGUGAUUCUUUAAUUGACUGGUAGUUUGAGAGAUACCAACUAUCUCUCUAUAGAAAAAAACCCUAUUGAUUUAUAUGAUGCAGUGUGCUGGUCCCAUGGGUUACCGAGAGGCAAGGUGCAAGUCCGGUCUGUGGUCAAAGGUGCAACAUGGAGGCAGUCCGUAGUAGCUGAAGGUGGGUGCAGGGCAGGGAGUCGGGUGAAGUCAGGGACAGGCAUGCAAGCAGGGAGCCAGGGCAGGUCAGGAGCUCAGGCAGGAAAGCAGGACAGGGUUUUCCACAUAUUGGUCCAUCAUGGCUGGGGUGGGUGUGUACGUGCGAUUCAUGCAAUACUGAUAAAAACGUAAAACUCAUAUUAGAGAUAUUAGUUUUAAUGAAGAUUGGUUAUUUUGAAAUAAAAACAAAUGCAUUUUGGCAUAGUAAACAAGAGCCAAGGCAAAGAUGAAGCAAGAAGUCGCUUUUACGACUGCAAACUUUGCCCUGCAUGGCAUCAAUUUCUGAAAUAGAAUUUCAAAGCGUUAGAUCAUAUCUGAAUGUAAAAUGGAACAGCCUUCACUUCAGGCCUUGCUCAUUGCAUCAUUCAUUUUGGCUAUGCAAAAUGAAGCUGUACAAGAAUGAUGAGGUUUAGAUUUUGUCCCAGAUAAACUAUAGUAAAAUAAUAAAGCCUCUUGCUAUUCAGAAGGCCUGAGCAAAAUUUUAGGAAGCAUACCAGCAUCAACAUCGGCUAUGAUGAAAUGUGUUUUCAAGGCAGUAUUUGCCUUUGUUUUCCUUUCCCCAAAGGAUUAAGAAAAUAUCCUAGAACCAAAAGAACUAGAACGAAUCAUAUAUACACAAUUCAAUUUGUGUGCUGCCUUUCCACAGUUCUAACCAUGGUUAAAGUGGCUUACAGAACAAAAAAUACAUAACAAAAGUAGUCGUAAACAAUAAUAAAAACAUUAAUAAAUAUACUACCUAACCUGUGGCGUAGGAAGGGGUUGGGGGGUGCGGGCCACCCCAUGUGUCAUCACUGAGGGGGGUGAUAAAAAACAACUCCCACACCCACCGCACGCCCCUUCCUAUGCCACUGCGGGAGCACUCUUCCCUUGAGUGAUUUCCAGAAACCAGAAGCAUCGCUGCCUCCAACUUUUCGGGCAGAGCACAGCCUUUAUGGCUUGUAGCCUUCGACAGCCGUCUCCUCCAUGAAUCUGCCUAAUCCAGAGGUGUAGCUAGGUGAGGCAGGGGGCACUGGGCUCCACACCGCGGGGCCUGCAACGUGCCUGAGCCACACGUCUCUCCUGAGGGGGAGGCAGCUGUUGAUAUUUUCACCCCUCCCAUUGACAGAAUCUCCUGAUCUGAUGUUUUGAGAAAGGAGGGGGCGGAAACUGCUCUUCUACUCUUCCGCUCCUGACUGACUGCCUGACUCUGUGUGUGGAGACAGUCUUAUCUAUGUAGUGACCAGAUGGCUGAGUGGAAGAUGUAACACUCAUGCAAGCCAGUAGUUCAUUAGUUUGUAGUAGCUAUUAGAAAUAAAAGGAGUUAUGCUUCACAGCUAGCUUCCACGUUAUUUAUACCCUGCAUGAGUCUGGUGCUCACAAUGCACAUUUGUGGGUCCAGGGCACUGGGACCUGCUUUGCAGGAUUGGAAGGUCUCUGAAAGUGCUCCAGUCGCCUAGCCCAGUCAGGACAGAACCAGUUAUUAAGCCCAGUCGCUGACAUCGGUUGAAAGGCAUACUAACAGCGGCGGACGGACUGCCUGCAAGCUCCACACUGCUUUUUCAAGCAGCGCGGGGCUUGCGUCUGCCCGUCGCCCUACAGCUGAGGGGGCGGCUGCAGAGAGGCUCCACACAGUGCGCCCUGCCUUGGCUUGCCCCGCCCCCAGCUGCUGGACACGCAUGCUGCCCCGGGCAUCCGAGUGGCUAGCAACGUCACUGAACCAAAUUGAAAAACAGUAACACAGUACUGUUCUAUAAUAGUACACAGUAACAUCUAUAAUAAAGACACAAAAAGCCAGCAGCGGCAACAGCAACAACCCCCCAGCCCAAAAGUGUGUUCAGCAGUCUCAGCUUUAAUAAUAAUAAUAAUAAUAAUAAUAAUAAUAAUAAUAAUAAUAUAAUUUAUUAUUUAUACCCCGCCCAUCUGGCUGGGUCCCCCCAGCCACUCUGGGCGGCUUCCAACAAAACACUAAAAUACAAUAACCUAUUAAACAUUAAAAGCUUCCCUAAACAGGGCUGCCUUUAGAUGUCUUCUAAAAGUUUGGUAGUUAUUUUUCUCUUUGGCAUCUGGUGGGAGGCCAUUCCACAGGACGGGCGUCAUUACCGAGAAGGCCCUCUGCCUGGUUCCCUGUAACUUGGCUUCUCGCAGUCAGGGAACCGCCAGAAGGCCCUCGGCGCUGGACCUCAGUGUCCGGGCAGAACGAUGGCGGUGGAGAUGCUCCUUUUAUAGCUGGAGUCAUUCAGGGCCCUGCUCUCCCAGCCCAGGUGGGAAAAGGCCUGCAACGUAGGUCUUCCAAGACUCCGGCCAGCCCUCAGUUUCAAUGCAGAAGCCCAGAUAAACCAAAGUAAUUCAAUGUAACCACGUUAACAGUACAGAGGUUGGAUUCCAACAUGGAUAUACCUCUAGGAGAAGAUCUUAUGCCCAUAGAAAGUAAUCUUGUGAUGUGACCCAUCCUAGUUCCUGAUAGCAUCUGCCCCCAACAAUAGAAAAUGUUAUAACAGCCAAAUUUGUUGGGGACCAUAAAGAUGCUUUUUUAUACUCCAGGUCAUCAUUUCUUAGAAAUGACAAUAAAAGUUUUUGUUUCAAAAACCUUACCUUGCUUGUGAUAAUGGUGCAGCAAUCUAGGGUAGCUCCAGUAGAUAAAAUCCAAAAUAAGCUCCUAUGUGCAUUAUAGCCUCCAUAUAUUACACCUCGUGCAUUACUAAGAACGAAAGUAGGUCUCCUUCCACUAAAAGCAUGUAUUCAUAAAUCUGUGAUCCUUUACCAGAAGAAAGAACACUAACGUCAGGCCAACGUUUCACAAAGUUAUGUUUCUGGACCAGCAGAACAGAGAAAGCAAGGCACAACUUUGUAACAGUUUAAUGCUGAGUUAUUCAAUUCCUUCUCUAAUGUCACCUAAGGACAUUUCUGACCAUAAGAUCCACAAUGUAAAUUUUGCUGAUGAUUCAAAAAUAGACUUUGAAUAUAUGAAAAAAAAAAAUCUUAGCUCUUAGUUUGGUAUAUUAAAAUUAAAUCUGGCCAUAAAAGGGCUGCUUAUCUGUGGGAAUUAACUUUCCCCAUUCUUAGACAUGUGUUUACUUGGCUUAGAAUAUUUGACCAGCAAAUCUUUUAAUAGAUCAGCAAAUGACCAUCUUUGUGUCUGCAGAUUAGGCCAAAUUGAAGACAUUGUGCACUAUAUCCUUGAUUAAAAGUUUAUAAAAUUCAGCAAGUGAUAUCUUUUUUUUAUUCUAUUCAUUUCAGAAUUUUCUAGAAAGUCAGUCAGUCGUGAUUUCAAAAUUAGAUGGUUGCUGUCACAUAUAGACAAAUUUCUUGCCUAUAGGACAGCUUUAGAUACCUUUGAUGAAAAAUGUUACAGUCAUAAGACCUAAUGAAGACCCCUGCUGGAUCAGGCCCAAGGCCCAUCUAAUCCAACCCCCCUCACAGUGGCCAGCCAGAUGCCCAUGGGAUGCCAGCAAGCUUUGUUCUGACCCAAAAGAGUGUUGAAAGCCAAGAGGGGUUUCAUCUUGAAUUUCUGAAAAUGUACAUGUUUAACUUACUUUGGAAUUGACUUGUUUGUUUUUAUGAGUUUCAGUGUAUUGGCGGCUGCUUUCUUUUGGUCAGCAGUCUAUGGAACUUUGCUGAUAGAUGGCCAUUUAAAAUAAAUAAACAGCCAUGCUCAUGAAAUCAAUGGCCUUAGGGAAUUUAAGGCCAUUCAUUUCAGUGGUUAUACUCUGAGUAUGCCUGUUGUCUUUGUCCAUGGAGUUUUCUUGGCAGGGAUACUGGAGUGGCUUGCCGGUUCCUGCUCCAGGUGGAUCACGUUUGGUCAAAACUCUCCACUAUGACCUGUCCAUCUUGGGUGGCCCUGCACGGCAUAGCUCAUAGCUUCUCUGAGUUAUUCAAGCCCCUUCGCCACAGCAAGGCAGUGAUCCAGUCAUGAAGCUGAGGCUCCAAUACUUUGGCCACCUCAUGAGAAGAGAAGACUCCCUGGAAAAGACCCUGAUGUCAGGAAAGAUGGAGGGCACAAGGAGAAGGGGUCAGCAGAGGACGAGAUGGUUGGACAGUGUACUUGGAGCAACAGCAUGAGUUUGACCAAACUGCAGGAGGCCUGGCGUGCUCUGCUCCAUGGGGUCAUGAAGAGUCGGACACUACUAAACGACUAAACAACAACAACUCUGAGUAUGAUUUAGUUGAAUCUUUCCAUUAUUUAUGCUUUUCACAUUGUGCUUCCGGGUGUUCAAGUCAACCACUGUUUCCACUAGUAUGCAAUAUGGCUUACACAGGGAACUCAUGGACUAAAUUAGCGCAUAUGUGCCUAGCUCCCAUACACCAACCUAUGGGGCUUUGUCAUAAGCAUAAUGAACAAAGCGAACUCCAUACUACAACAUCUCAGAACAAUUAUGAUGAAGCUGAUUUACACAUGCAUGUGAUUACUUGGGGCUGGUUGACCCCCUAUAGGGUCAUCUUAGGAGGUUGCAAGGGCUGCUGUCUGGCUUGUGCCUGAGCAGUGGUCAUCCAGAGGCAGCAUUUAUGAGAAUUCAUGUUCCGUAUUGUACUUGCAAACACUAUGGUUGGUGCUAUAAAUGCCUGCACAUUCUUCUUGUAGAGGCAUUGCUUGACAUUCACAUAAAGCCCCCAUAUCUGGUCCCUGGUAUUAGAGUACUCACUUUGAAUAAACUUUUACUUUUUACUUCUUCUCUUUUUUGCAAAGCAAUCUCUUCUGACUCACAUCUGUAGAAAAUUCUGCUCAGCCUUGCCUGUCACUCUUCUCUAACCUUUGAUUAUAGCUUUGAGGUUUUUAUUCAGAAUAAGAAAAGCGGGAGUAGCUCAGGAAAGACGGAGCUCUAUGUCACAAUUUAUAGAAUUGAUUUUUGUUUCUCAAAAAGGAAACAUUAAACCAUGUUUGGUUCAUGCUAUCAGUUUCAUUUUAGCUACCAGACCUUAGAAACCACAACUGCUCUCAUUGCAGUAAGAGUAAUGCAGCAUGUUUAACAUAACAGAGGGGGGUUUUUUUGUUUGUUUUUAAGGCAUUGGAAGGGGAAACUUCUAUGAAAUUCAGUUUCUAUAAGGUUCCUGAGUAACAAGUAUCAAUGUGGGAUGGUCUGAGGGUUUUGUCAGUAACUGGAUGGAAGACCACAUGGGAACCUAUUGUAUGCUGUAUUUGUAUGUAUGGUGUAUAAUGUAUUGCAUUAUUUAAAUGCAAUAAUGGCACAUGCCACCUCUGUUCCAUCCAGGAAAGUAGCAUUGACACUAGUGUUGGGAGGUCACCUCUAAAUGUCCUACUACUUUUGUUAAAAGGAAAAAGUCAGGUAAGAAUGCCACAGUAACAGAAUUAAUGCAUCUGCUGUGUACUAGAUAGCUAAACAUGAGCUCAUAUACAUGAAGCACUGUCCAUCCCUUGCAUCAGACAUCUUGCAAAGACGUGUAUCUUUUUGCCCAGGCUUUAACUGAUUGGGUCCUGUUCUUACUGGCUUUUCUCUUUUUAGAAUACCUUAGCUCUUGAGAUGAAGGAUGAAGUCAAGAAAGCAUCCAAAAGAAGAGACAUUGUGGUGAUGGGUGACUUCAACUGCCCUCACAUAGACUGGUUGCGUAUGUGUUCCAGUCAUGACAAAAGGUAAAAAUUCUAGAUACUCAAAAUGACUGCCCUAGAACAGUUGGUCUUGGAACUGACCAGAGGGGUAUCAACCUUGGAUUUAAUCUUGAAUGGUGCCCAGAAUGUGAUAUGAAAUAUAUGUGUUGGGAGCAGUGGUCAUAGUGCUAUUAAAUGAAACAAACAUAUAAAAGAUGGGUGGGGUAUAAAUAAUAAAUUCUUCUUCUUCUUCUUCUUCUUCUUCUUCUUCUUCUUCUUCUUCUUCUUCUUCUUCUUCUUCACAUUUGACUUCAAAAGACGGAUUGGCAACAAGGAAGGGCCCAGGAGCCUUCAAGAGGAAGAACAGCAAGAGCAGAGAGAAAAUCUUUCUUACCAUCAUAAGAUAAAUGGUAAAGGUGCCAUCCCAUUUGGUCUUUGGAAGAGAAAGUUGAUUGGUUAAUACUUUGAGUAUGCCUUUGUUGUCAGGAUGGCAGCAUGGUGUGCAAUAUUACCCCAGGUGAUAGAAUUUUUUUUUAAAAAAUGGGGGGGGGGAAUUAAUCUGGGUGUCAUGAGGGUUAACUUGCCGAAGCAGUUGGUUGGAUUUUGACAACUCUUAUCACCUGGUUGAUUUCUGAUAGUCCUUUUUGAUAGUUAGCUGAUCAGCCUUCCCCAACCUGUUGCUCUCCAGAGGAUUUGGACUACAACUCCUUCCAGUCCUGCUCUGGUUGGGAUGAUGGGAGUUGUAGUCCAAAACAUACGAAGGGCAUCCAACUGAGGAAGGCCAAGUUAGAGUUUAAUACUUAUGCAGAGGCUGGGUGGUAUGUGAGAGAUUUUUUUCUUUUAUGUAUUGUUAUCAAGGCAUUGAAAUGUUGAUGUGUUACAAAUUAUUUUGAAAUGCUUAUUUGCUGUUCUUAAUAUUUGCUUACCUUUUUAUAUUGUACUCUUUUUUGCAGAAAGAUUGCGUACAAAGUGUUAUCUAAUCUGGUGCUGACCAAGGACAAAGUGUGGUUUGUAGAUCAAGGAGAUGGGGAUGCACAUAAUAAAAUGUUACAGUUAUGACUUUUUAAUCUGGUCCUGAUGCCAAUAUCUAGAAACACAAAGUACAAUGUUGUAAUGUCUCUGCAAGGACAACUGGGUGGGGGAAUGAGAAACAGGCAGCAGAUUUGAGGGGAAAUAAAUAUCCCUUCCCAAAGUAGCAAGCAAGGAUGGCAAAUCCCAUACUGUUUGCUUCACUGCAUACUGAAUGCAUACUGAAUGGCCUCAGGAUGCAGAAAGGGCCAGAAGACUAGGUGGUUAAGCGCUAGAGAUAAAACUUCCCUUUAGGCAUUAGUCUCUUUCUCUUAAGCCUAAAGAAAUGGGGUUUUUUUAAAUAAAAAAAAAUAGCCCAAGAUGACAGUAUUAGUCCUAGAUGCUGAUGUGGACCUCCAGGGUUGAGGCAGAGAACUCAGUGGCAUUCCAAUUAUCCACCCACCAAGUCAGUAAUUAGGUAUAUUUGAUCAUACCAAAAUAAAAACUGGAGUUCAAGUGUAUACACACACACACGCAUACACGGCUUAAUGGAUUCUCUUACUUGCCUUGUCAGAUUUAUUGUUUCGGCACAACAAUUCCCCUAGCAGAUUAAGAAGCCUCGGAGGCUCUUGCUCCAGCUAAGCAGUGACUCUUACUGUAAGCUUCUUAUUCUCAGUGUUUCUUUCUGCCUUCCGUGCUGUCCCCAUGAUUAGAAAAUAAGUAUGUUCUAUCUUUCAGUACAUCUGUCACUUUAAGUCACUCAGCAUAUCUCAAACAGAGCCCAUUGCACCAACACUUUGGAUAUCAAUUCCAGAUUCUUCCUAGGGGCUUUUAGCCAAGUUUGCAAAGGGCAGCUAUGAAGAAAUGCGAAAGAUACCUUUCUGAUUUACUUGUUUGUUUGUUUGUUUGUUUGUUUUGCUAACAUCAGGUAAACAAGGGGGGAAUGCAGAUUUAGGUGGUUUCUUCAGCCUUUUGGUGCAAAGGUCUGGAAAGAGGUGCCAGGCAAUCCCAUUAUUGAAAUUACAAGUAACACUAGAUGAAACUGUUCAGCCAAGCAAAAUAUGCUACCUUAUGGAAAAACUCAGCAUCUCUCUUCAUUUGGUAAUACAAGGAGGCUAUUAGUUUGAGGGAAAUGAGACAGGACCCCAUCUACAAGUAUCCAGGAAUUUCUGCAAGACAGCUAGAUUAUUGGAACAGUUCACCAAUUAGGCUUGAUAAGAAAGGCAAGGCAUAUGUUUGUGUUUUUGUUUGUAUAUCAGGGAACAGGAUAAAUUCUUUUUCUAAAAAUGUUAAUGUUGGCCGUGGUGGGGAUAACUUCCAUGAUAAGUGGUGGAGGAGGCAGUAAGAACUGGAAGCCAGUGUGGUGUAGUGGUUAAGAGUGGUAGUCUCGUAAUCUGGGGAACCGGGUUUGCAUCUCCGCUCCUCCACAUGCAGCUGCUGGAUGACCUUGGGCUAGUCACACUUCUCUGAAGUCUCUCAGCCUCACUCACCUCACAGAGUGUUUGUUGUGGGGGAGGAAGGGAAAAGGAGAUUGUUAGCCGCUUUGAGACUCCUUAGGGUAGUGAUAAAGUGGGAUAUCCAAUCCAAACUGUUCUUCUUCUUUCUGGAACUUUAUUUAAACAUACUGAAAUUGGUGGCCUGUAAUCCUUUGCAAUGCUUUUGUUUGAGUGAAGCUGAUAUGUUGAGGUAUUUCAGAAGCAUUGUUGGCCGGGAGGAGAGAGAAAGAUGGCAGCCCAGAGGAGUAGAUGGUGGAAGCAUUCGUGUCCUUGAUGACAGCCAAAGUGUUCCUCUUCCAUUUCCAGAUUUAUAUAGAUGAUAUAGACAAAGAUAGACAGAUAGAUAAUACACACCCAUAUUAUCAAAUGGCUCUCUCUUACCUGCUUUUGACUUAAAACAGAAAUACAGUUCUGCUUCUCAUGCUAAACUACCUACUGGUACUUUAAUGCUACAGACCUAAGCUCCCUUAUCUGGAAGUAAAUCCCACGGAAAGCACUUUCACUCCCUCCUUUGCAAGCUGCAAAGCUGGUGCAGCAUUUUUGGCUUGUAUAUCAGAGACCAGGAUAAUUUUAGGAAGGUGGCCAGGAAGGGAGGAAAAGAACAGUAACAGCAAUCGUGGAGAAAGCUCUCUAUAGUUUUUGCACCAUCGUAGCCAUUCAUAUCUGUGAUGCUGUGAGAAGGGCCUCUCCCACGGAUUGUAAACUCUGUUGAUGGCCAGAGUGUGUGUGCCUAGUGUUUGCAGCCUCAAUAAAGGGGCAGGAUGGUCCCCUGCUCUCCUCCUUGCCAUUAGCACAGUGGGCCAGAUCCGUAUCUCCAGACACACCUUGCAACCCAAGUUUGACAGAUGGGCAGGGCCACCUACCUUGCAAUCACCUGACCUCAGACUGACAUCAGGUGGCCUGUUUUUGCCCAGUUUGAAAUCAAAUUAUGUGGGCAAAAGUAUGUGUGCAGUGCUUCUAUAGUGCCAACAAUCAACUGAAUGUCAGCUCUGGGACAGCCCUGUAUGCAGCAGUGACCAAGCACCAAUCAUCAGCUGAUAAGUCCACACUUGGGAAGCACUACACAAAGGCCCUUUCAUCCAAAUGUUCCUUACCUGUCCCACACCUGAUGUCAUAGGGUUGGUAGACAUGGCUUGACCAAAGCAGCCUCAUGGCCCAAAUGGAGAGACUUGGUGGGCCUAAUACAGCCCACAGAAUUAAGGUUCUGUACCCUUUCGGCAACAUUCUUGAAAGUGCCUAAAGAGGGCUAUGUGGUACCUGGCUGUUGUCAAACACACAGAGACACAGACCAAACUUUCCAAGAGUAGAAAAUGUGCUAAAAUGGAUGGUUCAUGUACAGAAGUCUCUCUCUGUUCCUUUAGAAUUAUUAUUCAGUCAGGCAAAGAUCUAGGCCAGUCCUUGUGUGAAGUCAGCUCAAGUUUUGUUUUCCAAUCCAGGUGUGAGGUAGAUGUAAUGAAAUGAUGCAGUAACUGCAGACCCACAGCUGUGCAGAUGAACUUAAGUCCUAUUUGAAUUCAGUGGGGGAGAGAUCAAUGUCCCUCAAUGGAGGGUGCUUUAAUUGGACCAGAUUUCCCCCAUUGCUUUUGGCACAUUUGCUCUGAGUGUUGGACUAUUCUUUAGCAUUGUUGAUUCUGAGAUCAGACUUAAGCACUGGAAUAUAUUUUAAAAGCUGUAGAUCUUCAGACAGAUAUUAAGUGCCUCUUUUCUUAAAGUGCAUCAAGCUCUUAUCAGGCGAUCAGCAGAAGAGUGGUAUCUCACUUGCUUACCCAUUCAUGCAGUUCCUGGCAAGCGAGCCCCUAUUCUGCUUCUCUGGAAUGCAAUCUAGCAGGAAUUGAAGAACCCAUUAGAGAAGGAGAGGCAGCAACAGGAUUCUACAUUAGCCAACCCUUUUCUCUGCAGGCAGACUGAGCUCUUUUCUCCUUGUCUAGCACACACAUUUUGCAACAGUUUAAAAGAAGGUGCAAAGAAGCAGUAAGGGGGGGAAGCCUUUGAAGAAUAAGGAACUGGAAGAUGAAACGCAAGACUACCUCCUCAUCUGCACCUCUCCUUUAUCACUCUGUGCUUGUGCAUAUAUUUAUAGUGGGGUGGCAGAUUGGGUGAGGACUUCAAGGUUUCCAUUGUGCAACAUGGAAACUCAGAGUCUCAAAUGAUCAAAGUUCAUCUUUAACACGUGUCUCUCUGCAAUGCACCCACAGGGCUUUUUUUUUCCUUCUUUUUUUUUUUAAGGAUUAGGCUCUUAUAUAAUCAUAUGUAUUUUGCCUCCAGGAAGAUGUAUUACUUCCUACGCAUUACAACUCUUGCCCACCAGGAUUUGUAUAUGUAUGAAGAAGGAGAAGAAGAAGAGUUUGGAUUUGAUAUCCCGCUUUAUCACUACCCAAAGGAGUCUCAAAGCAGCUAACAUUCUCCUUUCCCUUCCUCCCCCACAACAAACACUCUGUGAGGUGAGUGGGGCUGAGAGACUUCAGAGAAGUGUGACUGGCCCAAGGUCAUCCAGCAGCUGCAUGUGGAGGAGCGGAGACACGAACCCGGUUCACCAGAUUACGAGUCUACCGCUCUUAACCACUACACCGCACAGGCGCUCAUGAACCUGCCAUGACUGAACUCUGUUGAUUAUGAUGGGACUUUCGUGUGCGUAAACCAGGUGCAGCAUUUUGUCUUACCUGAGCAAUGUGCACACAUAAAGAUCCUGCAUGUCCAUCAAAGGUAGUCACUGUACAAAGUUUAUUUGGUUUGUUUAUGGUCCCAUCUGCACUGGGCACCACAAUUCCACUUUAAACAGUCCUGGCUUCCCCCAAAGGAACGGUAGUUUGUUUAGGAUGCUGAAAGUUCAUGGUUACUUUUAUUCCUCUCUUUUUUAAAACAUUUUUUAUUAAGUUUCCAUUUUAUCACAUUUAAACACAUCCUUAUUAUACUCCUUACAUAUUUGCUCAAUCAAGCUUCGACUUCCCUCCCUCCCGGCUCAUGGUUUUCAUAGUUCCUUAUUACUUCAUAGCAUUUAUACGUUUUCCAAUUUAUGUUUCACUCCCUCCAUUUAUCGCAAAUUUUUAAAUGAACAUAAAAAGGUACAAAUCAUUAACAUUUCAAAUUUUCUUACAACAACCCUGCUGACGUUGUUAAUUGUUUACAAUUGUCCUUCAGAUAUUGUACCAAUUUACUGCAGUCUUUUUGGAAAGCUUGAUCAUGCUGGUUUCAGAUUUUCCCAGUCAGCUUUGCCAAUUCUGCAUAGUCUAUCAUCUUCAUCUGCCACUCUUCUAACGAUGGAAUUUCCUGUUGCUUCCAUUUUGGGGCUAAAAGAGUUCUUGCUGCUGUUAUCGCGUACAUAAACAGUUUUAUCUUUGGAAUCUCUUUCCCUACUAUUCCUAACAGAAAGGCCUCUGGUUUUUUCACAAAGGUACUUUUAAACAUUUUCUUUAACUCAUUAUAUAUCAUUUCCCAGUGAGCUUUUACCUUACUACAAGUCCACCACAUGUGGUAAAAAUUUCCCUCCUUUUCUUAACAUUUCCAACAUUCCUUAUUUCUUGUCUUAUACAUUUUGGCUAAUUUAGUUGGCGUUAAAUACCAUCUGUAUGUCUUUUAUUCCUCUCAAUUCCCGUAGUUACAUGGGAAGAGGGACUGGUUGUUAAACUUAUAUUUUCAUUUGAUUGCAGUGAUGUGAGAGCCAGAAAAUGAACAGUUUAGCCACCAGGCUCUAGACUGCAUUUUGCCACUAUGGGGACAUUGUGAGUCAGCAGUAAAGAGAACAGGAGAUAAUGUAUCAUUUUAACAUGGAAACUAGCUAUAGGUUCAUAGAACUGCUGGAGGGUGCUUGGAGGCCAUCCAGCCUAUCCCCUUGCUCAGUACUAGAACCAAUCAGCAAUGCAGCUGCAGCAUCCUUGACAGAUGGCUGUCUAGCUUCAGCUUAGAUUACCUGCAGCUAAAGAGCACCCAGCAUCUCCCAAGACAGUCUGUGUCACUCUCAAAAGCUCUUGACAUUAAGAAGUUACUCCUAAUGCUUCACAGAAAUCUGCUUCCUUGCGAUUUUAAUCCACCAGUCCUUGCCCUGCUUUCUGUCUGGAGCAACAGAAAAAUAAAUGUGCUCCAUCUUCUGCAUGGCAGCACAUAUUUGAAGACUAUUAUCAUGUCUCUCCGUAAUCUACUCUGGACUGAACAUACUUGGCUCUUUCAGCCAUUCAUCAACCAUAUGACUUGGUUUGCAGACCUCUCCAGUGGUCAUGCUCAACUUUGUCAAUGCCCAUUUUCAAAUGUGUUGGCCAGGGACAAGAAAGGACAACAGGCUCUGCUUUGAUUAGAGAUGGCAGGUGAUAAAAUUACACAAUGCAAUUGCAGGGUAAUUUGUCUCAAAGUAAAGCACAACUUUCGACAUUUUACUUAAAGGAUGUCAGUGUGGCAGUUUCUCAGGCUGCUUUUUAGGCAUUUGAAAAUUAAACUUUGGGGGGAGGCAGGCAGAGAGUGAAUGUACUUGCAGCUUCAUUUUUCAUGUAAAUGUAGCUGUCACGUGACAGUCAAUCGAAUACUAUAGCCACUGGUUGUCUGCUUAUGGUUAUCACAUACUCUCCUCCAAUAAAAAUUUGCUUAGCACCAAAAAUUAUCACAUCCAGAUGGCAAAAAAUAAAUUAAAAAUCAAAUGCUCAAAGAGGAUGAGAACCAGUCAUGCAACAACUCUACUUACAUUUUGCAAAUGGCAUACUUACUUUCAUCCAUCAGCAGUGGGGAGGCAUUCUGAGGCAUAACAAACUGCUUUUGCAGAUUACAAGGUGGCAGGGUUAUUUUUCAAACAAGUACUCAAGAGAAUAAAAAGGGACUGGAUCUAUUUCCAGCAUGCUUAGGUGUUUGCAGUGCUGCAAUUCAAAGAUGCCCUUAGGUUUCUGACAGAAAGAAUUUGUUGGAAAGCUCAGGUUCUGUUCCUUGACUAUCCCUGUCUCUUCUAGUUACAGACAAUCCUUAUUUAGGCAAUAUUAAAAUUAGGAGAGUAAGACAAAUCUGCAGAUUUGGGAAUCUGGGUUAAUCUUAUUAAGCAAAGGAUUUACCACAGAGCUGCAUGUUCAAUACUGACAUCUUUAGUUUAGUUCACCAUAGACAUUGAAACACUUGUAAAUCUCUAAUUUUGCAUGUUGUACAUUUACAUUGUUUCAAAACAGGACAAUUAAGAAUCUUUGAUGUAGAAAACAUAAAAUUCUCUCAAAUACCCUUAAAAUAUACAUUGGUGAUUUUAUGAGGGAAGGUGCAAAGGAAUAAAUGACCUUGUUAUUUCUUACUCUUCUUUAUAUCUGCUUUGAGCUAAAAAGUGAUUUGUGUUUAUGCAUCCGUUGGAUCAGGUAUGAUCAUUGCAGGUAUUAUUAUCAGACAUAAUUAGUUAGGAACAUGGGAAGCUGCUGCAUACUGAGUCAGACCAUUGAUCCAUCUAGCUGCUUUGCUUCCACAGUUGGAUGCAGUAAUGCUUCUGAAUACCAGUUGCAGUAAACCGAAGGGUUAAUAAUCAUAAUAAUAAUAAUAAUAAUAAUAAUAAUAAUUUAUUUAUUCAGACCUCACCCAUUUGGAUGGGUUUCCCCAGCCACUCUGGGCAGCUCCCAACAGAAUAUUAACAAUAAUAAAAAAGCAAUAAAACAUCAAACAUUAAAAACUACCCUAAACAGGGCUGCCUUCAGAUAUCUUCUAAAAGUCAGGUGGUUGUUUAUUUCCUUGAUAUCUGAUGGGAGGGCAUUCUACAGGGUGGGCACCACUACCGAGAAGGCCCUCUGCCUGGUUUCCUGUAGCUUCACUUCUUGCAGUGAGGGAACCACCAGAAGGCCCUUGGAACUGAACCUCAGUGUCUGGGCUGAACGAUGGGGGUGGAGACGCUCCUUCAGGUUUCUUGUGCUUGAAUGCUGCUUCUUAAUUUCCCAUAGGCAUCUAGCUGGCCAAUGAGAAAUCAAAAUGCUGGACUAGCUGGACCAUUGGCCUGAUCCAGCAGGCUUCUCUUAAGUUCCUUUGUUAACUCCAUUUUCUAUACCAAAGAUGGGGAAUAUGUGGACCUACAGAUGUUGUUGGGAUACAUUCCCCAUCAUCCAUGACCAUUUGGAGCCCAACAGCAUCUGACCUCAGGUUCCGCAUCCAUGAUGUACACUGACUGGCAGCAGCUCCCCUUCUGAGUGUUAGGGACCAGGAAAUAGAUUCCUCAUCGAGUGCCGGAGCAGAGGAGUCCAAACCAGAAGGAACAGGGAAUGUAAGGCAAGUUCCAUAUGUGCUGCUACCCAAUGAGUCUGAAGGGCCAGUGUCCCCUCCAGCCAGACAAUAUGGCACUGCUGUCCUCAGACUUGGCUGACAUCACUGAAGACCCAGCAAGAAGCUUCUCUGCUUUGUUGCAGUAGAAGAUUUUGGAGCGUGCUGGGCCCCUUUAAUCAGAGCAACACCAUCCAGCACAGGUGCGUCUGACCAUUGGGAUGCAGCUGUCGCUGCUACUAUACAGGGUUGAGGCUUAGUUUGCUCCUUACUGGUGUGCUGCAUCCUUAGACCACAGCCUGAGCCUUGUAUUCAACCUGAACCUGGCUCUACCUUGCCUCAGUUGGCCCUGUAUCUAGCCUGAACCUCACCCUGCACCAAGCCUGAAUUCUGCCUUUACCCCAGAGCAGGACCCUGGCAGAGUUCUUUGCCAUCCUUAUCUGGAGAUGUUGAGAAUUGAAUCUGGUGCCAGCCAUCUGCAGGAAUCAUACACUUCUUGGUGGAUCACAAUGAAGCACUUUCAGGGCUAUGCCCCUAGGGCAGGGGUGAGUGAGCCACUUGUGCACAGACUGUUCUUUUCAUUUUAACCUGCAGCCUCCAUAUUUCAUCAGUGUAUUUCAAAAUGCGCAGAGUCUGAGGCUUUUCUAAUUUGUGUCAAGUGACCUUAUUUAGCCUGUUCAAGAACAUAAGUUGGCUAAGGAAGGGCCCUUAAGCGUAUGCUAUGAUUGCAUAUGAGAUAAGACUUGCUUCAGAUAUAAGCGCAGCAGACUUCUGAUCCUGGAAGUGAUAUUUUUGAAACUUUGCACAGUAGCAUUUUUUAUGCUUUCCUCAACCACUUUCUUGAUUAUAAAGAGAUUAACAAAAGAGGUAUUAAAUUAAGUGGCAGUGUAAAAUGUGACUUCUCCCAAAAUAAACAAAAAUUGGCAAAAAAGGGGGGCUUUGCAAUCAUCUAAAUGGAAAGCCAGACAACAUUUACAGCUGUGCUGAUUUGGAAAAAUGUUGCCACAUGAGUUGUUUUUCUAACCCAUGCCACUCCUGGCUCUGUCCCUAUUCCAACUUUGUGUGUUUUUUUUCCAACCAGACUAAAUGGACACAACUGGUAUGAAAUUCUAAAUAACCAAAGAAUGCUGAAGAAACAAUAUAUAUCAAUAAGCAUAGUAUUUUUUUCUUCCAGUAGUCUCUUAUAUAUGUGUGUAUGUGUGCUCCAUGCAGCACAGAGCAUAUUAACUUGGAUGAAUUUUAAAGAAAAGAGUCUUGCUGGAUCAGACCAAAGAGCCAUCUAGUCUGGAAUCAUGUUCUCACAGUGGUCAGUCAGAUGUCUACGAUGAGCACAACAGCAGUCUUGCCAGCAAUAUUCAGAGACAUGCUGCCUCCAACAGGCUAGUAGUCAUUGAUAACUUUAUCUUUCCUGAAUUUGUCUAAUCUCUAGCUUGCAGAAGAGGGGUUUCACAUGGUUUAAAACAGACAAAGUUAGGAACUUCCAGAUUCCCAGACUACCCCUGUAUCUUUAACCUAUCAACUUACUUCUCUAUCUUGUUGAUGUUAGACUGAUAUUCUCAUGUGACAUUCUGCUUACUACAUCUUCCUCCUUCUCACACUUCUCUCUCGGACCUCAAGAUGAGAGGUCUCAAUAUGAUAUUUAACUAUCCUCUGAGAGAGCAAAGGAGCAAACCUGGUUGCCUUGUUCUUCUGUAGAUUAGUUAGUUAGACUGGAACUAGAAACUUUUCUAUGCAAGUUAUGUAUUUCCUAAAAUCAUUUCUUUUAUUCUCUUUCCUACAAACAUCUCUCUCUGUAUAUGACUGCAGCUUAAACACUGCUCACUCUGCAGAACAAAUGGAGUUUCAGUAGGAAAUUGAUCCUGUUAUCAUGUUAGUUGCUAUAAUUUUAAUAUAAACACACACACACAUGUGCGCAUGCACACACGCAGAGUAUAUAGUAGGGAAGACUGUGAUCAAGUGACCUUUGGGCCUUCUGAGUCUGCUGCCUGGGGUCUAUGAAUUAGCUGCUAAUUUUUGAUGGGCAACUUCAAAGCUUUUUCUCUCCCUUAUUGGUUUCUUUCUUUAAUUAAAAAAAACUGGAUUUGGAUUGGGCAGCCCUUCAAAAAGAGGCUUCCUUCAAUUAGAGGGCUGUCCUCUGUUAAGCAGGACACAUGGCUGCCCUCUUCCAAUUUUGCACAUUGAUUUGGCUGCAGUUUUUUUAAAAAAACCACUUCAUUAAAUGUCACAAGAUAUACCUUGCAUAAGAGUCAUUUUUUAAUUAGAUCUCCCGAAUGACACGUUAAUCCCAACCCCUAAUUACAUAUUUGCAAAAGUAUGGAUGGGAAAGAACUCAGUGAACGUAAGUUUCUUUCAAUGAAUAGCCUGAGGAGUUUAGGUUUUCAAAUAUUAACAGAUUGUAAAACUCCAUUUCAGCAUCUCUGAACUUGCUGGAGUGUUGCAAAAUACAAGUAAAUAUGCACUUACUGAGACAAGAACAACAUUCAAUGUCUUCAUCUAUGACUAAAGCAAACAUGAAUUAGUAUCUUCAUUGUCAAUCAUUAUUUUAUUAAGUGCCAAAUGAAAGCUCAGCACAAGAGCACAAGAGCAGAUAAAUACUUUGAAAAAAGUUCAUCUUCAGAUAUGCUGGGCCCAGAUAACGUUGGACUGUUAAAGGGAAUGCCAGUUCCUUAACUUGGACCUUUAAACCCACUUGAUAGCCCAAGCAAUGGCUUGAUUACUAGAGUGUUGUGUUCUUUUCAGGCAGCAACAGGCAGAAGUCUGGACCUGUUGUAAUUUCCAGACAGUUUUCAAAAGUGAGUCCACAUGCAGCGCAUUCCAGUGGCUAUUGGAACUGAAGCUGUUUCCUCCAAUUUGCUCAUUUGCAUAAUUAUAAGAAGCAGUCUUUUUAAGAAGUGCAAUUUGCACACUAAACGCCCAAAGUUCCCCACUAAGAGGAAUGCUGUGGUAGAAACUGUAGAGAUUUAGAAAUAUCAAAAGCUCUAAAAGCUUUUCCCCAUGGUGGGGGCGAGGAACACUGCAAUUUAGUCAACAAUUCUUUUGAACUGUAGCUCUUAAACAAUAGCUUUUGCAACAUACUGUGAUCUGCGGAAAUAUUUAGAGGAACAGAGGGUGGGCGGGAAUUCAUAUCUAUAAACCAGGGUUUUCACCUAUCUCCUUCCCUAAAUGGUCAGAAGAAACCCCAGAACAGGGGAGGAGGGAAAAGAGAGAAAGGAGAUUAUCCUGUCAGAUGAGCAGAAAUGCUUGCCCUGAAGGAACAAUCUCCUUAGUAUGGCACUGGAAGCACAGACCAAACUUCCAUGGCAACUUAUUCUAUUGACUUCUAUUGACUUCAAUAGAAUACUUCUUUCAGUUGCAACAAAAAAAAUUAUAGAAUGGAAAAUUUCCAUAUGCUGGAUAUCCAAAUUUGGGGCAAAUAAUUUUUGGUGUGAGAACCCCAACAGAGUUUUAAAGUCGCAAAAAUAUGCAGCCAAAUAAAGCAUGGAAAUAUAGUCUGUUAGACCUUUAAAAUAUGCCCUUUAAAGUGAGUUCCAAAAUGUGCCCUUAAAAAGUUUCUUUCAAAGUUUUACUCUUCCCCCAGAAUAGGAAAAGACCACAUGUUUGGUAAGUUAAAAAUUGGUUUGCUUGCAAAUUCUCCAUAGGUCAGAUUUGUGUGCAUCAGAAAGUUGCACAGGCAGUAGAACUUGACUUUGCAAAGUGGGGAAGCUUCCUAAAUUAUUGGUAUAGCAACACAAGAAUGGCGUGGUAGAGCUGGAACAACCAGCACAAACCUCUUCACAUGCUGAGCUUCUCUGGUAGACUGGGGCAUAAGAAAGUAUUGAUUACCUAGUUCUUCCCAAUGUGAGGGGAAGUGGAUAUAGCCUGGCAGGACAGCUUACUCUAUGGUAUUAACCCCUUCACGUGCUAAUUAGACUUUAGCAGGUUGGUUAUAUGAGGCUGGUUAUCCCACAUUUUCAAGCCUAACUUUAGUGGGGAGAGAGGUCUCUGUGAGCACCAGAUAAUUUCCCUAUGGGUACAGGUGUGCCUGCAGGUGCCCUGCUGGCAACCCUACAAGAGUUCCAUUAUUCAGAUCUCCAGCUAGCUGGAACUGGAACCUUAUAGCACUCUUCAAGCUUGGUCUCCUGGAGAAGUGAAUGGACAGAGAAGGAGGAGGUGAUGAUGGAGUACUAAAGAGCUCAUAUUUGGGACUGGUAGGCAGCCUUGAUUUGACCAAACUGCGGGAGGCAGUGGAAGACAGAAGUGCCUGGUGUGCUCUGCUCCAUGGGGUCACAAAGAGUCGGACAUGACUAAACAACUAAACAACAACAAAGGCAGCCUUGAAUCUGAGCAUUUAUAGUGAUACGGUGUGUGGCAUUGUUCUGGAGAGUGAGAAAUGGAAAGUUUUAAAUAAAAUCUUUCUUCAGGUAUAUUAUUGCAUAGUGCCAGGGGUGAGGUUUUUAAUCUCUUGGCAGGCCUGCCCCCAACCAUAAUCCCUGCCACCAGGAUAUUUACUAUAAGCAAUUAUGGACUUAAGCAAGCCAAUUACCUCUUUUCUAUCCACCCCACUUUCUUUCCCUGUCUCUGGUUUCUUUUUCUGUCUUUUUCUCAGCUGUCACCUUGACAUUCCAUACAUUCUAGGAGCUCACAUGUCCUCAUCAUGUUUACGGUGUGUGCACAAAUUAAAUACAUCUUUUAAUUUGCAAACAUAUACUUCUGCAUACUGAGAGAGUCCCUGAGUAUGUCGAAACCAGUCCCUUGUUUUCGGAUGGCCAUGCUUUGCUUAUGAACUGAUCAGCCCUCCAAGUUUAUUACUGCAGAGAAGUGAUAGUUAUAUUGUGAUUAUACUUAAGUAUAAACAUUCUAGUAAUAUUGUGUUGCUCUUCCUGCUUGUAUCUACAUUCUAUGCAUAUGUACUCGCUUUCAUUUGCAAGUUGUCUGAGCUCCGGAGGAUAUGAGAGACUGCUGAUGGGGGCAAAUCACAAUCACCAGCAGACAGAGGAGUCGACUUGGGCCCCAGGUUAUAGGUGCCCAGUGAGUGUGGCAUCAUGUUGUGACAUGAUGCCAUGAUGUUGCAUGCCCCCCCCAAGCCUCAGAAACUGACUUCCAGUAGCACUCAGCAAUGUGCCCCUGCCAGCAGGUAAUUCCAGUACUCAGAAGCUAGCUCUGGUUACCCAGAUUCAAGGUUCUUGUAUUAAUUCACAAGGCCCUUAACAACUUGGGUCCAGAAUACCUCAAGGACCAUCAUAUUCAUUAUAUCCCUGACCAGUCAUUGAGGUCUUUGGGGGAGCCACUGCUGAUGGCUCCCCAUGUCUCAGAUGCAUGGCUCACCAAAAGUUGUGCUAAUAUUAUUGGCAUCCCUUUCAGUUGAAGUCAGGCAGAUUGAACGUCCAAGUUGUUGUUUUUUAAAAAAAUCCAGUAGGCAUUUUAAUUGAAUUCUGAAUUUAUAGUUUUAACUGGAUCCUCUUCUUUUUUUUCUUUUAAUUACCUGCACACCACUUUGAAACAAUUGUUAUUAAGUAAUGUAUAAAUUGCUGAAAAUAAGAAUGAUAUAUAAUCUCUGACCUUUGGCUCUGCUGGCUAGAGGAGUUGUAGUCCAAAACAUGCAGGGCACCAGGCUGGGGAAGACUAAUUCUAGCACACUUUAGAGGCUACAUAAAUAAUGUAUAACCACAAUGUUCAUCUUUCAAUACUGGAAGCUCAGGAGGGAUUCCACCCAUAUAAUUAAAAAGUUGGGGGGGGGUUAACAAUAAUUUCUCCACCUCUUUUUUUUUAAGAGAACAUCUGUGUAUUAGCCUUUGUUCUGCAGCAGUGGUGUACUUUAAAAAGAACACACUGAGAAUUCUAUUUUACAUUCUCUUCUGAACAUUUCUGUUUCUUAGUUUCCUGCUGCUCCAAAGACAGAAGCAGACUUCAUCAGGCACUAAGUUCGGGUUGCUAACAACCAACUCGGAUGUCUUUGGCAGUUCUCCAAAAGCAGUAAUUGUUCCAUAUCCCUGUAUGCAAGACUACAGUUGUCGUUAGCACUCUUAAUAUUUUUGGACGGAAGGUAAAUUUGUAUUGUCUCCCCAUACUAAUUAGAAGUCAGAUCUUAUUCUUUUGAAAAAAAGAACAACCACAAAAACUGGAAAUACAAAUAAAAGCCGGAAGAUCAAAGCCUUCACAUUGGUGCCUGGUUACUGAUAUUAUACUGUAUGUGUCAGAGAGAAGCAUGUGACACUCACUGAUGUGGUAUGAUGGCAUGAUAAGUUGGGGGAUGCAGAGGUACUGGGCAUAGGGAAGCUAAGGGGCAGAGGACACAAAGAAUAGGAAAUUAACUGAGAAAGGUAGAUAUCAAUGUCAGAACCUGGAGGAAAGGUAGAUAUCAAUGUCAGGAGUUCAGCCUGCACUCGAAUAGGACCCUGACAGAGACACAUGCUGACUGGCAUGUUCCCUCCCUCCUGGUCGAUCGAUCGGGAGUUUCAAAAGCUUUCUUCAGCCUGAACAUCACAGUGACCGAUGCCAACCGACACUGGCACACUUAGGGAUCCGCAGAGUUUGUGCAACUUGCAUAACAGACCUCAGCAACUCAGCAUUUUGGCUAAUCUACUUUAUUUACAUAUAAACACACACGGAGCACUGCAACAUGCUCCCUCUCUCUCUAGCAUCAGACAGCAAAGAGAAAAAGAACAAAGGACAAUAGUCCCACUUCACGGAACACAGUAACACAAACAUCCUGUCUCUGUCACUUCCCACUCUGUGGAAUGAAAACAUACACAGUCGUGUGAUAGACAACAAUCCCAUGACUGUAGACACGGGGAAUGAAUCUUCAACAAUCAAUGCUUAAGGAAAAGGCUAGAGGAAAGGGGGGGUGGAGGCAGGAAUUGCCUAUUGAGAGGGUGGAUUCAGAGUUUAGUUGAGGAGUGCCUGAUGGAGAGAACAGUCUCAGUGAAGUUGGGUUAGGAGACAGAAUGAAAUAAGGAAGAGGGGGGAAUAGGCAUUGACCUGAAAAGAAGUGAUACAAGGAGCAUGAGCGCAUCCUGUUCUCAUAGUGGCCAACUAGAUGCCUAACAGGAAACAAUGAGUGAUGGAGUUUAAGAAAGAAGGGAUGAGGGAAUGAAAUAAAACUUGUGUCAUUCAGAAUGACCUCAGCUUUGUACAACAAUGCGACCGUGUGCCCCUGAGAGAAGCUCAGAGAAUCACUCUUCCUUCUUUUAAAAUUUGUUUGCCAGUGUAAUUUAUAAAGCUAUUAAUAUCAUUAAGCAUUUGUACCUUACACAAACACAGAGAUCAUGUAAUGGAGAGCUAGAGAGACAAGAUAACAAACAUAAGCACAAAUGUUGCCUAAGCAUUUGUACCUUACACAAACACAGAGAUCAUGUAAUGGAGAGCUAGAGAGACAAGAUAACAAACAUAAGCAUAAAUGCUGCCUAAAUAAAACAGAGUUCAAAGGAAUACAGAUUUUAGCACACUGGAUGUGAUAAAAGGUAAAGGUAAAGGGGCCCCUGACCAUUAGGUCCAGUCGUGGCCAGCUCUGGGGUUGCGACACUCAUCUAGCUUUAUUGGCCGAGGGAGCAGGCGUACAGCUUCCAGGUCAUGUGGCCAGCAUGACUAAGCCACUUCUGGCAAACCAGAGCAGUGCACAGAAACGCCGUUUACCUUCCCGCCAGAGCGGUACCUAUUUAUCUACUUGCACUUUGACGUGCUUUCGAACUGCUAGGUUGACAGGAGACUGGAUGUGAUAGUAACUCCAAAAGAAAAGCAAUGACCAGAGUACUAUUCACAGGAGCCAACUCAAAGGGGCUUUGGGGGCUUUGGCCCUGCAAUAAAAUAUUUGACACACACCCCCAAGUUGAUGGGCAUUGCCAUUCAAAUGGUGUGCAUGCAUCAUGUAAUGUGAUCGAUUAUGCAGGGCAGGGCUUAGCUCCCCUCCAAAAAAUAUUUUAUUCAAGUUGGUACCCCUGGUAUAAUGGCCUGGAUUCAAAAACACGGUUGCCAAGUCCAUACUUUUUAAAAAAUGAAAUUGAUACUGUUAAAUAUUGCUGGUGCUUGCAUAGAAACUAAUCUGCUUGAAUGAUGAGUGAACAGAGCUUGCCUCAAAGUUCAGCGAUUGCAAAAUUCUCCACCAUCCUUAUUCUCCAUGCAUUUCUGAGAAGGACUGAGCCAGGAGCUGACUCCAAACCCAUGAGAAUUUCUUCUUCUUCUUCUUUUUCAGUUCAUUUGAAAGGUUUUGUAAUAUGCCCCAAAGAAAGGCCCUGCUUUCUUUACAGUUGGGGGAGCAGGGGAGAAGUAGCAACCAAUGAUUUCAACAGCAUUUAUAGAUGCUGCAAGACUUGGAUUGCUCACAUAAAAUACUUGCCAGUAAAUAAAUGGAGGCUUAUUUAUUCUCUGCCCUUCUCAGCUGUAACUCCUAUUAUACAGUACAGAGAGAAAAGCAAUAGGCUGAGAAUGAAAUGUGCCUGAAAAUAUUUCUUCACUCGCCUCAGCUUUUACUUGCUCAACAGCCACUUCAAAGAAACACUGACAGACCAGCCUAAAUAGAGCGGUUGGAAGGAAAAACGGCUGGAAUCAUGUGUGUGGUAUUUUUUUCUCCCCCUUAAUCCGCCACCACAGCUGGAUUUCUCUUUGAAUUAUUGCACCAAAUUCCCAAACCACUUUUUUAUACUUGCAAGAGCCUUCAAUAGAUGUUUUGGGAGCUCUGUAGGAGCAGCUUCUGAAAAAGUAAACUCUGAAAAAACUUUGGGUUCAUGGCAGCCCUUUUGGAUUGCGGUCAUUAUAUUAUAAUGCUCUCUUUCAUUUUGCUACAAAUGCCUCUGCUUCUAACUCAACCGAAACUCAUUAAUGCAUGCUUUUAUUGUUUGGAUAAUGUACAGUGGGGAAAAUAACGCCUUUAAUUUAAACAACAGGAGCUUGUGGGGUUGUUGUUUUUCCACUGCAUUGUCCUUGUGGCUAACGAAUCAUUUUUUUUUAAGUCAAAACAUUAUUAAGAAUUCAUCAGUUGAGGGGAAAACUUUUUUUAAAAAAAGGUUCACAUGGAUUUCUCCAGCACAGACUCUGAAUGUAGAAGAACUGGAAGUUGUACUCUAAAAGAUCUCUAAGGUACUGAAUUUAUUUUAUUUUUGACCUAUGCUGGGAUGCCAUUCCAUUAAAAAGUAUCUCAGGGUGGCAUACCAUUAAAAAAAACAGUAAAAAAAAGCACUGCAAAAAUUAGACUUCAGAAGUAGCAAUUAAAUUCAGCAGAACAGAUAAAGCCAUGAUCAAGACUAGCUCAUGGUAUGUGCUGAAGUGCCAGGGCAAAGAAAAAGGAUGCUUGCCUGAUACUAAAAUGACCUCAGAGUUGGCAAAUCUGAGCUUUCUUUGAGGAAGGCACAGAUAGGUAAGAGCAAGGGGGGAUUAAACCAGGUACUAUGGCACCAGGUCCCAUGUGCCUAACCCAACUUUUCCGCAAGGGAAGCUGUCAGGCAGAGGUCUCACCCCAAUUUGUGCUGCCCCUGCAUGGCCAGAGGAGAAGGUGUUGCACCUAAACCCAGCCCGAUCGGGUCUGGGUUGCUCUGUGUAACCACUGGUCCACACUUGGUUCAUCAGUGUGCAGUGAGUAGCCACACAGACUCCCUUACUUUGCUUUUCCUUGCCUUACCCAGAAAGCCAGCACUGCCUUUGACAAUUGCCAUCCAUCCCAAGCCUUUCAAGGAGCCUCUGCUGGAUCAGAGCCAUGCAUUUUAACUGCAACAUGUGUCGGGUUUUUUCUUUCCAUUAUCAGCCCCAAGGAUCCUCAGAUUCUCAAAGGGAUUGGAUCCUUACUCUGGGAGCUUGGAUACCCCUACAGGUAUGUGUAUUUUCCCUCACUCACUCUCCCUUUGCUCCACCUUCCCACCCUCCUCCUGGUUUGCAACUAGGAUUAAGAGCCCUUACUCUACUUACUGUAGUUCCUCUUUCAGGACUGCUCCGCCAUCACGGUUUCCUCAGAGGCAAUGCUAUCCCCUCUUGGGUUCCCUCUGUUUCACCCUUUCCUUUCUCCUUUCCUAUUUCUUCCUCAAUUUUCUCUUUCCCUAAUGCUUGUUCCCCCUUUUUGCUCCCUACUGCUUGUAUUCCACGGGCUCAGCAAUGACAUUCCUUUUGUCACUUCCUGUAGGAGUGCCACAAGGUUUCAAAUACCAUAGCCUCACCCCACAGCUUCAUUUCUGGCCUAGAGGGCAGGUACACUUUCUAUGCUCUUCCCAACAAUUAGCUUUAUAAAAACAAUAUGGAUAAAAUCCAAUACAUAGCAGCAGGUCACACCAAAUAAGGCAAGCAAAAAACACCCCACACCCCUUUCUGUCAUUAGCAAAACGUGAUGCCGCUCUCUAUUCAGGUUAGAAUAGAAUUCAGAAGUAACCGGCCCGUGUCGGCUGUUGCCAUAAUAAAAUGGUAAAAUAAAUAAUUGAAGCCAUGUCCUGUGCAGUCGACAGUGAGAAGUGAAAGGGCUUGCGGGGAACUCUCAGGAGAAUCCAGCCAUGCCAAAAGAGAACUCAGAGAGGAUGAGGCAUAUGUUGUAUGCCUCGUUUGAACUCGAAAAGAAACAGAAAACCCAGCUAUAUUCACACCAGUCUUUAAAUAUUUAAGGAAUAAAUGCCAAAAGAUCUAGGAAGAAGGAGAUACUGACUGCUUGGCAUUUUGGACACAAGACAAAGAUUUUUUAAAAAAGAGUUACUUUGUAAGAUGAAAAAGAGAUUAAGAAGCAUGAGGUAUUUAGCAGGUAUGAGGUAUUUGGGCAGGAGAGUGGUGAUAAGAUGGGAUAUUAAACUGUAUUGAUUUAAUCUUACUCUUUAUUUUUGUUAGUAUUUUAAAAAUAUACCUCCUCAGUUAUUAGCAUCCAAAGGCACAUGGAGUCAGAUAUUAAGAACUUAAGAAGAGCCUGCUGUAUCAGGCCAAUGAGCAAACAUAUCUGUGUGUAUUCAGAAGAUGGGGGGAAGAACAAUGGCUAUGUGUCUUAGGGGAUUGUGACUGAAGACAGUCUGUGGGCAGAGACAUGGCAUUCAGGGGAUGGCAGAGGGAGACUGGCUUUUCAUUACGCUGACCUUGAAUGUGUCUUAUCAGAACCAACAAAGGAAAAGGAGGAUUCCUAUUGAAUACAUGAUGGAUUAUCGCUGUCCAUCAGCUACUCAUACUGCUUAUCAAUGCAGUUGACUGGUCACUAUUUUAGCUCUAAUGUUAUUUGGCAUAGUCUGGUUUGUUUUUGUGUUUUGUUUUUGCAUUUCCUUUCCUUCUGACCUCACUACAUACACUCCUCUCUCCUUCCCUGUCUCUCUCCCUCUCUUUCAAUCUCUACAUCCAUGUGUGUGUAUACUUGCCAGCUUAGUGUAACAUUCCAUAAAUCCAAAGUCCAAAAAAGGUUCUACUAGGGAAGCUAACGUGGUGCCCUCAAGAUACUAUUUGACUCUAACUCUCAUCACCCCCAGCCACCAUGGAUAAUAUUAAAGGAUGAUGGGUAAUGUAGUCUAGCAAGAUCCAUAGGGCAUCUACCCCUAGCUUAUACCAUAAUAAAUGUGUUAGACUUUGGGAAGUCACAAGUUAAUUUCUCAUGUCUGCUGCAACAAAGUAAACAUAAUUGCUCCACUACAAACCAUGUCGUAUACAUUACUCUUAGACGAAAGCCCCCGUAUUCCAUCCCUUUAUCAUCAGUAUUGUUAAUUGGUAAUUGGUACCAUGCCCAACCUCCCUGGUUAUGAAAGAAUGACCUACCACAAUGGAAGCUGAACUGCUAAGGUAGCAUUAUGUGUAAUGGUGCCCAUGUUCUUUCAACCCAUAAGUAAGGGGCUACAACAAAAGAAAGUGCAAUUCUGUCUCUUUUACUUUGCUGAAAAACCUUGAUUUCACUUCUCAGUUCCAAUGGCCUAUGCCUACCCUUCAAGAAAAUCAAGAUAUUGGAUUCAGUAACUGCAUUCUGUUAACAAAGAAAAAGGAGGAAAAAGAAGGCAUCCCAUCAAAGUCAUAAUUCCAGCCUUUUGCACAAGAAGCUUUAAGCUACCUUGCCACCCUAGAGUAUUAAAUGACAUAUUGAGAGUCUGGGAAUAUUAAAGUCAGGAAGAGGAUAGGUGCUCUACAAAAUCCGAAAGAUCAAACUCUUGAUUUGAGGAGUGGAAAGUAGAAGUUGAUAACAAGUGACAAAAACUCUUGGCAAUUUAUUUUCCCUUCUCUAAGAAAAGGGGCUUUGCCCACUGUGCUUUGUCUCUCCCUCUCUUUCCUUGAAAAGCCAGUUCUUGACAUCCUGUAAUUAGCACUACACAGCACUUGAGGCAGAAAGAAUGUAAUCGACAAUAAUUACUUACAGCAGAACUGAAAAAAGCCCUCCUAUAGUUAUUACUACCACUAAGCCUUACUGAGUCAUUUAAAAAGCAGUUUAGAUUUUAAGCAACACAACAACAAGUGGGGAGGUGGGAUGAGAACAAAGAGGGAAGGAAAUGUCAAGCUUCAAAUAUUCUUAUACCUUAGGGCUAAACUAGAUAUUACAUGCAAAUGCAAGGACUAUUACCCCCCCUUUUUUAAAAAAAAACAGGAAAAUGUUCCUGUUUAAACAUCAACUAGUUAGGUAAGGUUAUAUUCAUCUGCCAGCAGUGUCUUCUGUGGCACCCAUCUGGGAUGAUGAAUGGAUGGAAGGGUGAUAAACAUGCACAGGUAAAGCUCCUUGACCAACAGUUAAAUGAUGUGUGAGGUUUUGAGAUAUCUGGGAUCAUCUACACUGAAGAGGGAAAAAAUUAAAAGUAAAUUACCUGUCAUCAAUUAUGUCCAUGCAAAUAUUCUGGAUGCACAGUAAUUGGAAGUGGCAAAUAUUAACUUCUGGGCACUGAAUCUAUAUUAGUAAGAAUUAUGGCAUACAUUUUAUUUGGUCCUGCAUUAGCACAAAGGAUUGUGCAGUUCCCAACAGAGCCGAUCUAAAUGUAGACUCUUAACUGUAUAUGCAAACAACUCAAUCCUCAAUGUCUUCCCUCUCUUUGAUUAGCCAAUCUUGCUAUGCCUCUCGCUGGCAUGCCAAUAUUCCUAGAUUUAAGCUGUAAAUUCCACUGAACACAGUGGCUCUUACUCCCAAGUAAACAUGUAUGGGAUUAAAGUGUCAUUGUGGACUCUGGGUGUCUACUUAGUGGAAAUUGUAAUGGAGAACCCUGCUAUUCCAGCAUUAAUUUGUUAUGAUCAUGGUCACUUUCACACAUUCCAAUAUUUUAUUCAAAACAAUCCAACCACAUUUACAAUUCCACAUCCCUAGUGAUACCAUUGUUUUUCUCUGUAGCAUCUUAUCAGGUUUGAUUUUCUGCUUCUUUAAUGUUAUCAUCAGGUUCUUAUCGCCUGUCGCUUGUGAUUCAGCAAAAGUUUUAAGCAGCUUGCACAAAGCAGAACAGAAUUUUUGUAUAUUUUGUAGGCUGCUUCAAGGCCUGUUUUGGCAUUAAGUGAUAUAUAAAUAUAAUAAAAAUGAUGAUGAUGAUGAUGAUGGAUUUCUCUUUCUUUUAAAAUGUUGGUAACUUAAUUUAACUUGAAGUAGUUAUUUCUAAAUUUGCAUCUAUAUAAAUCAGGCUAUGCAAUUUUAUCUGAACUUAUAUUCUCAUGUCUUUUUGUGUGAUGCAUUCUCACCUCCUCCACAACAGUUUGAGGUACAGGGUAGAAGGGUGCGGAAGAAGUGGGGGAGGGAGAAAAAACUCACAAAAAUCUUAUCUAGGAAAGUUUAGCUCAGACAACACUCAAUGAAAUGAUAUUGUUGGUUUAUGCGGAGGAAGACUGGAAGGAAUAGCAACCAAGCCCAUUACUUCUUUCAGCAACAUUAGCAUCACAAUUCUAUAUAUGACCACUCAGAAAUAAGCUCCAUUGUGUUGCGUGAGACUUACUCACAGGUGAGUGUGAAACGACUGUAGCCUAUAUAUAUUUGGAUCCACAAUCCUAUCUGAAAUUUUCUACCCUAUUCAUAGACAGGAAAGUUGGGGGAGAGCAUUUUGCCAAAUAUUCUCUAAUGGGGGCAAGGGCUGGAAAAGAAAUUGUCCAACAUUUUUUGAAGGUUGGCAAAAAAGAAAAUCGGUUUAUGAGAAAAUUAAGCCUCACUCUACAAGAGUGGCUACACUGUUCUCAAAAAUGCGGGGAAUGGCAGCCUGGAAGAGGGCAUUCUGUAUGGCAGCCCCUAAAUUAUAAAAUGCCCUCACCACAGAAAUCCAUGUAACAUCUUCAUUGUAGAGCUUCUGCCUUAUGCUGGAGGUGUACCUCUUUACCCUGGCCUUUGACUGCCAAGGUAUUUUGUUUUGUGAGCUCCACCUCUUCUGUUUUGUUGACUCUGAACUGUGCUACUUUUGCUUAGAAUUGUUUCACUUGUUCAUUGUAAUUGUAUAUAACCUGAUUUGCUUCUUUUAUUUACUUCUAAGUGUAUGGUUAUCGCUGUAGCCCAUCCAAGGACCAUACGGUGAAGGGCAGGUAAGAAAUCUUAUAAGAAAUUGAAUAGAUAAAUAAAACAUGCUGGCAUAAGGGAAGCAAGAGGCAACAACGCACAGCCAUCAGAUUGGCUAGGCUGGGUCCUUUGCUUUGCUGGAUUCUUUAGUCUGCCCCAAGGUGGUAGCGUCAUAGCACCCUCUCUCUUAUCUGAGGCAGGACUCCGGCUCAGUGGUAGAGCAUCCACUUUGUAUGCACAAGAUCCCAGUUUCAAUUCCCAGCAUCUCCAGUUAGGGCUGGGAGAGACCCCAGUUGAAACGCUGGAAAGCCAAGACCAGUCAGUGUAGAUGAUACUAAGCACGCUAGACCAAGGGUCUGACUUGGUAGAAGGCAACUUACAUUCUUGUGCUCGCUCUGCACCAUUCAGGAGGACUUGAAGCAGUCAGCAGUUUCACUUCCAAGCCAACACCUUUCAAACCUAUAUUUCUUUGGCCCUGAGAACAGUGUUCACUCUCGUUUCCUGGAUGCCGCCUAAUGUUAUGCAGCGCCGGUCAUCCCACAUUAUGUCAUGUUAUGUAGCAGGUCAGCAGGAACUGUCAUGUUCAGAGCUACCUGGCAUUUUUGCCAAAUCAUUUGGCACAUCUCGCUUUCUCAUCAGCUUGAAUUAUGUGUAGAUCAUCUCAGUCGCUCCAGAUAAUUAUUGGCCUCCAUUCAAGCAAUGGCAGGGGAGCCAAGAAAGCACUCAGUAGUCUUUCCCAUCUAUAAACUGCAGAAUAUACGUUUUCAGUUUCAACAAUAUAUAUCUAUGUCAACUCAUUCCCUGUGCUGUUUUGGCAAGCAGGUCUUCUCUCUCUAAGCAAUACUGCAGUACAAAAACAACAACUAAAAUAUGGCAAAACAAGAGGGGUUUGUUUGAAAUCAUCUGAAGUCCCUUUCCACCCAUCCUGCAUUGCAAUGAGGACUAGCGGCCAAAGGGUUGGAUCCGCCUUCUCCUUUCCAGCUUUGUCAUCCUGCCACCUCCUCUCCAUCCGGCCUUCUCUUAAUGCCCUCCAGCUCCAUCCUGUGCAUGCUAAUACAAACUCUUGGCAUUAAGAGCUGUUUGACAGGGGAACAGGCUCCCACGAGAGGUGGUGGACUCUCCUUCCUUGGAGGUUUUUAAGCAGGGGUUGAAUCACCACCUGUCAUAUAUGAUCACCAAUUGUGUUUCUUGUCCGCCAAGUCCUAUAGUUUUACUAUUUGCCCACCAGUGCAUAGCAGUUGCAACAAAGUGGUGAAAAGUUAUACAUGUAAUAUAGAAUGUCUCCAGCGCAAAGCAAGGAUUAGCCCCAAAUUCAGUUGGCUAGUCAGGCUCAUGCUUCCUGUUCUAAUAUGGAAAAGACAACCCUGUUCUUCCUUAUAGGAUUGCUCUGAAAAUCAUUGUGCAAAUGUUAGUGGUACUAACUGAUGUUCUUACUCACCUGGCUUGGAAUACCAAAUUGCCCAAUGUUUAUCUGAAUUAGCAAACAAGUGUUAUAGGAGAACAAGAUGCACAAAUACCUUGAAUUUUAUUCCAGAGCAACUCAGGUUGGUCAAACCAUCGCACAAGUGCUAUAAAGCAGGCAAAGUGUACCUCCUCAACAGUAGCUCACUUUUAUUUUCAGAAAAGGAAAAGGAAGCAAGUGUUGUCCAUCCCACAAAAAGUCUGCCUCCCUCCCAGUUUAGAUCAUAAUCCAAACCAGUUCACUUUCCCCCUGACUACUUCUAUGGUAGCAUCCCAGAAUAUCUGAUCAAUGUAAUCUUCCCAGGGUGCCUGAAGAAAUUCAAGAGAGUGUAUCACCAAGGGUUCCUUGCCCCUGGGACACUGUUGAGCCUACCUAAAAGUCAAAAUACCCUUGUCUGGGGCCUCUAUUUCAUUCCUCAAUUUAUGGGGCUUUGUUAUGGUCAUUCAGUGGGAUGGUGAGGACACUUUUCACAGUCUCAAAAAUACUCUCUUCUGUAUUGUUAUUUCAUAGGUUCCAGAGCUAAAAACCUAAUGAGUGAUUAACUUCACCUUGAUCAGCUUGGAUCAAGGGCAUCCAAAUGUUGAUGUAUUAAUGCUGUGUUCCCUUUCUGAAAGUGUCAGUCACUGAUCAGUCUUCACUGCACUACAUAGCCACACAAUGAGAAAGAUUUGAUAUACGUGUGUACAUCAGGGACCACUAACUGGGUAAGACAAGUAAGAGAAAGUAACAAAUAAGGUACGUCAAUCCCUGACACUACAUGGCUUCAGGCAACUGAUAGAAAUAUGACUAUUCAAAAUGGUCUUUGGCUGAUUAAGCUUUUUUGGUGGUGGGAUCUGGUGCUAGAAUUAUUGCUAUAAUGUUUUUUCCCCAUUUAAUUGCUUUUUAAUUAAGGUGUUUAUUUUGGCCUUUGGUUUCUAUUUUGAAAUACUGCUUUGUAUUGUGACUUGUUAGCUGCCUUGAAUUCCUCAGCCGGUAGGAUCAGAGUUUGUUAAAAUAAAUAAAAAUGAAAAAUACAAAGAACCAGUUGAAAGGAGGAACAGUGCAGAUCAGGCUCUGAUUUAACUUACGGCCAGCAAGAAAUAUAAAACACAUACACGCAAAGCAUACAGACCAUUAUUCUCUUUGAAAGACAAGUCCAUGCAAACCUACUCCUAAGGAAGCUCCAAAAUGGGCAAUGGGGAUAUGGAAAGACAAUUCCUGAAUCAAAAAGAAAUAGACUAGACUGGAGGCAAAGGCAGUGAAUCGUGUGCCUCUCUUGAUUCUGCAGGUCUUGUACAGAAUUCAAGGAAUGAAAGGGCUAGGGAUUAAGGACUGCACAGAGAGUUUACAAAUGCCCAUAGAUCCACACAAGGGCAGCCAGGGACAUCCUAAUAUAACUGUUGCCAUAUUGAAAGUAAAGCAUUGUGGGACUAGAAACUAAAGUGGCGUUCAGGAGGCAAUAGAUUUGACAUGUAUACCGGUAUUUACGCAAAAUAAACAAACAAAAAAACAGUUUCCAGUCACCUCCAUUACACAGGAUUUAGAAGCUUGGAAUGCAAACAGGCAACAACAGUAAUUUAUUACCACUUAAGGGCUUGGGUCAUAGUGGUUAAAAAACAAGAAUUAUGGGUGGCAUCCAUACAAAUAAAACAUAGUAAAAGAGAUAGGGCCACUUAAGUUGCUAAGGAGAUAUAUAUAUAUAUAUGCAAUUUGGGUAGCAUCACCAUCUAUCAGUUGCAGCCUGCGGCAUUUUAAACACCGUAUCUCUUAUCUGCAGCACUUACAGACUUUACAAGGGACAGAAUUAUCUCUGUCUAACCACUGUAUAACUUUUUGCUGUUCAUGAAGAUGAGGAAAUCUGGAAUGAGACAAGGAACCGAGUAACUUUUCUGUAAUUUAUUGUAUAAAUUGAAGUUUAGAAGGGAAUGUGGCAAUUCACAAUCUCCUUGCUGCACACUCAAUGACACAGGAAAUAGUUGGCUUACACAUAUUGCCUUCAAGUAUCGCAUCACAUAUGACAUGAGAUCUGAAUGCUAGCAUGCUCUAUGGAGCCUGCCAGCAGGCCAGUCUCAAAUAUGAUUUUCAAAAGUAUUAGAUCAGGGAUGGGGAACCUGUGGCCCUGCAGAUGUCUUGAACUACAACUUCCAUCAGUCAGCAAGGCCAAGGAUGAUGAGAACUGGAGAGAGAAAGGUUGAGGGAAAUGCAUAGCUGGGGUGGAGAGAGAUUCUGCAGAAAUUAUCACUGAUAAAUUGUAUGCUCAUAUCCUCUAACCCCUGCUUAACCUGCCAAUCAUCUUAGAAUCAUCCAUGUCAGAGAUCACUAGCCAUUGCUAAACCAAAUUGACUGUCUUUCCAAACAAAUAUAUCUCUGGGUUGGUUCCUUCAUACGGUCAUCUACCCAUGGUCACAUUUAUUGGUUUUAGCUGGAAGUUUAUUACCCUCAAACUAACUAAGGCUUAAAGUAAUAAAAUAAAAUAUUUAAGGGCCUAGCAGUGCAAUCACAAUUAGUAAGUUAUGCAUAGGAUUGCAGUCUACAUCCCAUGUUUAUUCAAUCAAUGAUGUAUGUUGUACCGUAUUGGCCCGAAUAUAAGCCAUACCCACAAAUAAGCCACACCUUUAAAAUUCAAAGGGGGGAGGAGACAAUACCCGAAUAUAAGCCACUCCCUUAAAAUUAUGCAGGCACUCACACCCAUAAAUGGCAAACAUAGAAGAAAAUCCGAUGGGUACCAUUCCCCCGUGCUCCUGGCCUGCUUCCUGGGGGGGGGGAGCCACGCCACUUUACCAGCAGCCUUCCCCCCUUCCCCCUUCUUUCCGGCAGUUUGGGGGAGGUGGGCAGGCUAUGCGCCAUUGCCCCGUGCUCCCGGGCUGCUCUGGGGGGGGGGGAACCGUGCUGCUUUGCUGGCGGCAUAAGGUUGCAAAUAUAAGCCGCACUUUAACUUUUCACGUUCAGAAUUUAGGGGGGGGGAGUGCAGCUUAUAUUCGGGCCAGUACAGUAUAUCAAAAAGUAUGUUGUACAGAAAUGUUGAGUGUGGGCUCCAGUUUGGCCUUUAUCAAGGUUUAGAAUGGCCCUAAUUUGCUAUUUCUGCUGCAGCAGUAGACAUCUGAACCCUCAAAUGUGCCUGUCCUUAAACACCCUACAGCUUAUUGUUCUUCUCAUUUGCUAAUAGGUUACUAAGAAUACUUCCAAAUAUAUCCUUUCAUGUGAGCCUCCUGGAUCCUAAAUUUGGAAGGCGGCAUAGCAAUUAUCUCUGCUAAAAUCUUCCUGCAUUGUGACGUAAGUAAACAUCCCCUGAACAGCUUCCAUAAAAUGUUGCCACUCACUUUAAGAGCUUCUCCACAUAUCUCCCACCAAUCUCCCACCCUCGCAACAUUGCAUUUCCUACACACACACACACACACACACACUGUAGGGAAUCCGAUUAAUGAAAUUUCUGUACAGUAGUACUACAUUGUGGUUUGGGGGUCAUUGUUUGUUAAUAGUCUUUGAUUUAGACAUUUUGGUCUAGAAGGUACAUUUUAAUUAAAAUACAGAAUUGGAGUAAAAAAAUCUAAGUGAAAUAUAAGGGGCCUGUUUUAGAAAGACUCACAGUUCAAUCCCAUGCAUGUAUAAGUCCCAGUGAGUUCAAUCGAGGAUUCACUGGAGAAAGCCAUAGGAGUCGAAAAAAGAUUUAUAAUACAGGUAUUAGCAUAGAGUCCUGGAUGGCAUAAAUGUGUAGGCAUUUGUAUAAUAAAAGACAAAGCAUUGCAACCUUCACUAUUUGACUUUCAGUGGAAGGGAUAUGUUUCCAAUAAAUUAAUUUUGAGAAAAGUUCAUAAGACUCCUGUCACUCAUAUGGGAUGCCUCAUGACUUUUCUUAGAAUUAGGCAAAUGAUUUCAACUUCCUACUGCAUGAGUCAUACCAAAUGCCUAAUUUAAGAUCUAACUCACCUGUUUAAUGUAGUUUCAAAAGUGAAUGUCCAAAAUGUAUGGAAUGUUGAUAUUCACAUGGGAAUUCCAGAAAUGCAGGUCAAUCAGAGGGCACUCUACAGACAACUUGGGGAUAGUGACAUCCCGGAAAUCUCUGAGCUUCCCUUUCACACUCUGUGACUGCCUUGUCAGAUGCCGUGUUGUCAUUCUGCAGUUGAAAGAAUUUCAUUUUGUCAUGAAGGUUCAUCAAUUGAUUAAAAUGCCCUGCAUAUGUGAAGCUGUCAUUACAGAUCAAAUAUCAGAGCCCUCCUGUCACCUAAGAUCAUCUCAAACACAGUAUUUGCAAAUGAAAGGAUCAGCAACUCAUCAAGUUCUGUUGAGUAACUAAACAAUAAGACCUCAUCCAAUGAUGCACGUUUGUAUGAAUCAUACUGGGCAUCAUGGCAGAGUGGGAAAUAUCAGUCCAAGCUGAUGUUGGGAAUUCCAUUCCACCCUUGCUGCAGAUGUAUGGGAUUGUUACAAGUCACAUGUCUGUUUACAUUCCAGCACUGAUUGUUGGAGUCUCGUGAGCGAAAAUUGAGAUACGCUGUUCAAUAUAGGUAUUGCUUUUGCAGUUCUCUCUCCGAGGAAGAAAGACAGAGGGGAAAGCCAUCUUUUCUUUGUUCUGUUACGUUUGAUUUUGUGCGCAAUAAAUUAGGCUUAGAUGUUACAGCUCAAGGCUCAGCUUCUUUUUGGACUGUGCUAGUUGUGGGCUCAUGUCCUUGGAUAUGGGUCUUUGAGAUCUUUAGGAAAGGCCUUCCUCUAAGUCCCCCACCCCACCCUCACAGGCAUGUAUGAUACAGACAAGGGAGAGGGCGUUCUCAAUGGCUGCUCCCAUGCCCUAGAGAAGCUAAACUGGCUCCCUCCCUUGUUCUCCUUCCAUAGGAAAGGUGAAGAUUUCCUUGUUCCAACAGACUUUGAGGAUUGACUGCUGGUGCUAGGCAUAGAUGUGUGUAUGUGGGUGUGUUGUAUUUAAUUAUUUUUCAUUAUUGUUUUCCCCCCUGUGUUUUUAGCUUAUUUUUACCUGUAAGCUGCCUUGAGUCCCUGUCAGGGGAAAAAGUGGGGUAUAAAUACAUAUAUAACAACAACGUCAUCUCUGCCCACCCACUGUCAGACUAACUAUCCCAUGUUGUGCAAAUAAGGUUAUCAAGGGGACUUAGACCCACUUUCCCUUGAAAAAUAGUAGAAGCCUCCAUGUGAUCUGGAGCUCUCGAAAGGAGGGUGAAGGUCACUUGCAGAGGGAGGGAGAAUGGGAAUUCUUGUCACACUUAAGUUAGUCCUUGAGCUUCUGAGACAAAUCGGUAUAAUAACAAACCCUGAAUGUAGUGAGGUUGGGGAACUCUGGUGUAAACUGUAUGCUAAUUCAAUAUUAUAUUCAUUCCUAAAAUGCCUGGCUUGUGCCAACUGAAAAUAGUCAAACUCAGUAAGCACUUCAGCUCAUUUUUAACUUUAAGUAUCUGAGUUGUCCCAUUGGAUUAAGCCUUCCAUUAGCACACAGUUGACAGCUAAAUUAAAUGACUACUUUGAAGGGGGAGGAGAAUCCAUAAAGCAAACCCGUCCACCAGCAAGUAAUACCUAACACCAAAUAAUCACUACCUGAGUUAUUGAAGCAUAGAAAAGAAAAGCACUUCCCCUUAAAACAUCACAUUCAUUUCCAAGAUCAAUUAAGAUAUUCAAUCAGUAUGCACAGCAGAUUUUGGCGGCCUCCUUUGUGCAUAGUGAAAUCAUAAACAUAGGCAUUUACUCACCCGCAAAUGGCAAAAUCUGCCCUUGCUUGAGAAGGAUUGCACUAAUAAUGCAGAAAACUGGCAGAAUUAAUCCCCUCAAAAAUUACAAACAUGCCUGAAAAUUGUAUCCAAUUCUGGCAGAAAAUUUAAAGUCAGAGAUUUUUUCUUUUAAAAACAAAACAUUGAAAGGUUUCCUGCAUGAAAGCCCCUGCAUGGAUCCCAUGGGGAGAUCAGGGUGCCCUUUGCCUAGAAAUUAACAACAACAACAACAACAACAACAACAACAACAACAACAACAACAACAAAAUGUAUAUGCCACCUUCAUCCAUAGAGCUCAGGGCAUCACAAAAUAAAAUUACAAUAUAAAGACCACAAAAUACAUAGUAAAAACAACAACAACAACAGACCGAUAAUCCCAUUUAAAAGGGCAUCAGAUGUCAAUCAGCCAAAAGCCUAGUAGAAGAGGAAUAUUUUUGUCUGCUGCCGAAAGCUGUAUAAUGAAAUUCUAUCCACAUCUAUGAAGGAAGGAAGUUACAGCUGUUUUUAGAUUCCCCAUUAUAGUCAAUAGCAGGGAGUGUUUGGCACUGCCCAGGUAUUUUUCGAAACCAAAAAAUGUUGUUGAUUUGAGUUGGACCUGUCACACCCAAAAUCAGGUGAUAUCAAUCUAAUACCAUAUUUUGGUCUGCCAUCUUGAUUCAAAAUGGUUCCUGGCAUCCAAACUUUGACAAAGACUGCCCCUCCACCUUGGCAAACCUUGUGCUGAAUUUGGCAAUGAUAACUUAAGAGGUGACCAAACCUAUGUCAAAAAACUGGCAAAGUCACGCCAAAGUGAUGUUUUGGUCUGCCAUCUUGAUUCUAAAUUGCAGCCACAUCCAAAUGUCAAUGAAGAAUGCCACACACACACCUCAGGAAGCCUUGUGCCAAGUUUGGUGAUGAUAUCUUGAGGGGUGUCCAAACAUAUAGAGAAUGAACAAAUUGACAGGCAGAAAGACAAAACCCUUUUGAAAAUAUUUAGUAGGUGGAAGAAAACAGAGCUUUGAUUUAAAAAUAAAGAAAAUAUAACUGAAAUCCUAAACAUAUUUAUCAAAGAUUAAAUCCCAUGGAGCUAAGUAGGUCCUAAUCCUGACCCAAAUGUAUAUUGAAUUAAACUAUUCAUGGGCUACCAGCAAUUCUCAUUUUGUAUAACUGAUAUGCAUUAAGAUGCAACUAGAACUGUUAUUAGAAUCAUGUUUUGAAUGCUCACAAAUAAUAUACAGCUUUGAUGGAUACAACAAAUUUCAUGUAUUCUUAUUAUAACGCAUUUCAACCUAAGUUUACAUUUUUAAAUAUGUUGUAAAUCACUUGGAGACCUUAUUUAUGUAGCAAGCAACAGACAAUUUUAAAUAAUGUUAGUUGGCAGCACUUCUUAACAUAAGAAUAGAUUGCUUUGAGGAGCUGUAAUAGCACCUGAGGUAAAUCUUGCUCCUGUGCAUCUGGAUUUAGCUUUUUAUUAGACAUAUGUCUUACCAAAUAAAUGCAGCAAACAAGUUAGUUCUUAAAGCAAGUUGUGAGCUCAGUGCUGGACCAUGUAAGAAAGCCGAAAAGCACCCUCCUAUCUGGAUAGGCAGAUGGCCUCAGCAUGCCUUCAUGCUUGGUCAGGUGUUAUUAAUCUAUGACCAAAAGAGCAGGUGGCUGACAGAUAGUGCAAGAACAUUCCACAAAUCAUUUGGAGAUCCAGCAAGGAUGGGGGGAAAUGAUUAAAUAUAUAUUCCUUUUAUUAAUUUUUAAACAGGAAGAUCCAAAAUUGGAAGGGUAGAAAAUAGCAAUAUUUGGACAAGAAGCAAAAGAAAUUGCAUGCCACAGCUUUUCAAUUACAUUUUGCCAAAUAAGUAAUACGGUGGCACUGUGGGUUAAACCACAGAGCCUAGGACUUGCCGAUCAGAAGGUUGGCGGUUCGAAUCCCCACGACGGGGUGAGCUCCCAUUGCUCGGUCCCAGCUCCUGCCAACCUAGCAGUUCAAAAGCAUGCCAAAGUGCAAGUAGGGAAGGUAAACGGCAUUUCCGUGUGCUGCUCUGGUUCGCCAGAAGCGGCUUAGUCAUGCUGGCCACAUGACCCGGAAGCUGUACGCCGGCUCCCUCGGCCAAUAAAGUGAGAUGAGCACCGCAACCCCAGAGUCGUCCGUGACUGGACCUAAUGGUCCCUUUACCUUUAAUAUGGACAGCCUUUUGUUUUAUCCAGGGUAAAUCCAGGGUAAAUGGAUCAAAUAGGUGCUGAGUUGAUGGCCAAUAGUCCGGGUGGUUGGCAUUCUAGUCAAACAGCAUCUGGAGGGCCACAGUUUCUGCAUCCCUGGACAGAGAUACUUCUUCACAGAAACAGUGGGAUUUGGAAGAUGUGAGAGAUGUGGCCUCUCAAAGUUGGCCUUUUGUGAAUUGUGAAUUUCAAAUGUAAUACGUGGCUUCAUUGUUUUGGCAAUCCAAAUUGGUUAUCAUGUCUACAAAAGUGGGGUAUGAAUGCAAUAAGUAAAUGAAAGAUGCACAAAUAAAUCCAAAGCUAAUAACUGAAAAGCCUCUUCCAUAUUAUAUUUGGAUCCAAGCAGAGAAGCUGCAGUCCUUAAUACAGUUCCUAGGAAGUGAGCCACAUUGAAAACAGUGGGACUUACUUGAUAAUUUGGACUUAUUCAUGGCAAAUUACUAGUACAAAAUUGUUAGUAUAGUUUUGCAAUAAAUAUCAAUAAAUUGGUGCCACUUAUCAUGGAUUGGCCCUACACUUCUUUACUGUUUUAACACUGAACUAAAUUAGCCAACUUUUCCAUUUCAGUAAUGCACAGUGCUUUCUUUAACUACUCCAUAAUCAAAGGAUCAAUGCCUUAGGUGAUUUUCAGCUCCUUGCCAGAACAAUUUCAUCAGAAACCUACAGAACACUGACCAGCAGUCUUAAUAACAAUACCACACUGUUUGUAUUCAUCAACUAAAACACCCAUUAACUCUUCCACAGAAAAUGCAAAUAGAUCUGUAUGAUUUGGUCACCAGUCCGCUCCAUCAGUCCAGAUAUGCCACCCUUAAUGAAAACUGCACUCGAAAGUGGUGUCCUCAUCGCCACCACCUGCAGUUCUUUAAAACAAGCAUUCUCAAUGUAACUUAGAGGUGACUGAGUUUCCUAAGACCAAAAAUCAUCACACAUUAACACAGAAAUUUCUCAAAGCAAACCCAAGUUAAGAAAGAUCAUUUGUUCAGUUUGCUUCUUUUUAAACGCUGUAUCUGUCUGAGGGAUUUUCCCCACCUACCCCCAAAUCCCCUGCUCAAUAUAAAUCGAUUCUCCUUCAGUGCACAUAAACUGAAUCUCAAUUCCCAACACAGAAAAUGGUGACAUGAGAGAAGAAGACAGAAGCCCAGGGUGAGAGGUGGGGAUCAGUGAUAACAGGUUGAUCCUGCUUCAGUAACUAAAGCCCUAAGCAAUAGCACUCCAGCUGAUUUAAAAAUACCUCUUCAGAGGCACUUUUCAGGCAGAAAACAAUAGUUAUAAGGGGGCAGAGGGACAGUUUCAAUAUGCCACUUUUUAAAAACACUGAUGUACUCUUGUAUUAUCUCACCAGUCCCAUUUGGGACUACAUGGCCUCCAUGGCAACCAUGGGGCUGUCUUGAUGAAUCAUUGACCGGACACAUAGAGCAGGACUGACCCUCAAUUCUACUCGGUCCCUGGUGCUGUGUUUAGUGGUCUGGAAAUAAGGAGAGGGGAUCUGUGCCCCCCUGUUCAUGGUAAGAUUACCCUCUGUCAGAGUUUCCAAUUUCCCUCAGGGAAUCGAUUUGGAUGGUGCUACCCCAAAGACUUAUGGAUGCCUGAAUACUCUGGAGGAAUUUCUGCUGGGUAGAGCUGGCUGUCCUGCCAAAGCCUCGUCUCACUGCGGAAUGGCAAGAUGUGGAGAGCCAUUGGUACAAAUGCUCCUGAGCACCCUCUCUGAUACCUCAGAGCAUAAGUGGCUACCUGGUAUCCUGAGCAGCUAUGUGCUGUGAAACAAGUCAGAUGAUGAAAGUACCACUGUGAGGACAACCAAACUAUAAACUUCAGCUGUAAACCACACCUGGUGAUACCAGAACAUUGUAAGGAAUAUGUUUAAUGCAAUGUAUGUAUGUAUGAAUGAAUUAAUAUUAAUACCACCUUAUUUUUAUGGCUCUAAGUUGUUUUGAAUAGUUUUGAAUAUUGUUUUUAAUACUGUAACCUACCUUAGGACCUCAGGGUGAAGGGCAGGAGGAGGAGGAGGAGGAGGAGAGUUUGGAUUUGAUAUCCAGCUUUAUCACUACCCUAAGGAGUCUCAAAGUGGCUAACAAUCUCCUUUCCCUUCCUUCCCCACAACAAACAGGUGAGUGAGACUGAGAGACUUCAGAGUAGUGUGACUAGCCCAAAGUCACCCAGCAGCUGCAUGUGGAGGAGCGGGGAAUCGAACCCGGUUCACCAGAUUACAAGUCCACUGCUCUUAACCACUACACCACACUGGCUUUAUAAAAUAAUAAUAAUAAAUACUGGCCCUUCAAAUUGUCCUACUUUAGCUCCCUAAUUUUAUGGCCAUGUCUUGACGUUCUUAAUGAAGACACAAUAAGCUGGCUACCUCUACUGACAUCAUUCACUCCAAUACCUAAUUGUGGGAAAGGAAGGGCAAAAAAAGAAGGAGGGAGUAGGACACCGUGGGAUGGUUGCACUCACAAAGGCCCAUGAGCAAUGAAUGCUGACAAGGGAGAGGAAACCCCAUGCAAAUAAGGAAUCUGAGGGAGUUAGGAGUGAGUUUACUUGUUGCCUUAGCUAGUACUAACAGUGCCUGCUGUAAAGGCACUGUGAGAAUUAGGGCUGGGGUUUUGCAGAGCUACUGCUGCCCACUGUCUUCUAGGAACUGAAUGUUCUCAUCUCAAGGAUGUCAAAGGUACACAAGGUCCUUUGGCUCAGCAUGAAUGGGUGGGAUGCAUAAACAUGGAGAUUUCCAGCUAGUUGCCCCCAUCCCUUUUAGCAGCCGUGGGUUACUUGCUACAGGUUACAUCAGCAGAGGUAAUGUGAUCCCACCUCUUGAAAUAGGUCCUCCAGAAUAAUUUGGGAUAGCCAGAGUGUGUUAUAGUGGAUGGGUGUGCCAUAAAGUGUCAUAUUUCUAUGUCUCCAGCCCAGUAGGUGGUUUGUGCAAUGACUCUUAAGGCCUGUUAUGAGAAAAUGGCCACUGGGGAGAGAUCACAUUAAAUUCUUCUCCGUGACAGCUGUUUCUCACCAGCAAGCUAUUUAUAAGCAGGAGCUUCUUGCACAGAUCAGGGGACUUUUCUUGAUGCCACUGAGGUUUGCAGGGAUGUGAAGGAAAUCCUCUGGUGUUUUUGGGAGCUGCAUGCAAACAGUUUGCUAUGGGGGGUGGGGUGGCCAUGGAAACUAGGAAUGAAAGUGGCUUCCAUGUCAAGCUACCUUAUGAAAGGCAUAGUCUUCCCACUCCCUGGUUAUCCAACAUAAUGGAAAUGUUGGGAUUGAACACACACAAGGAAGGAUUGUCACCUAGAAGGCAAGGAUUUGUAUGUCAUUUUGCUGAAUAAAAAUGGUCAUAUGGGGGUUAAGCACUUUCUCCUCACCCACCUGAAAAUGCCUCCCAGAAACUGCUUUGGUAUUACAAGAAAUAGCAGGCUUAUGAACUCUGUGUUUUCCUGGAAACUCUUAGUUCCAUUUUCUGUGCUGCUUGCUGGUUGGGGUUGUUCUUACUCUUCUUGUUGUUGCAGUCAUUUAUUACCUAAAAUGUACCCAAGUGCCACUGUAUUCUGCUCUGGUCAGACCUCACCUGGAGUACUGUGUCCAGUUCUGGGCACCACAGUUCAAGAAGGACACUGACAAACUGGAAUGUGUCCAGAGGAGGGCAACCAAAAUGGUCAAAGGCCUGGAAACGAUGCCUUAUGAGGAACGGCUAAGGGAGCUGGGCAUGUUUAGCCUGGAGAAGAGGAGGUUAAGGGGUGAUAUGAUAGCCAUGUUCAAAUAUAUAAAAGGAUGUCACCUAGAGGAGGGAGAAAGGUUGUUUUCUGCUGCUCCAGAGAAGCGGACACGGAGCAAUGGAUCCAAACUACAAGAAAGAAGAUUCCACCUAAACAUUAGGAAGAACUUCCUGACAGUAAGAGCUGUUUGACAGUGGAAUUUGCUGCCAAGGAGUGUGGUGGAGUCUCCUUCUUUGGAGGUCCUUAAGCAGAGGCUUGACAACCAUAUGUCAGGAGUGCUCUGAUGGUGUUUCCUGCUUGACAGGGGGUUGGACUCGAUGGCCCUUGCGGUCUCUUCCAGCUCUAUGAUUCUAUGAUUCUAUGAUUCUAUAUUGAAAGACAUAAAUUCAUUAUACCAUUAAAAAACAUUAACAUUCUCAUACAAACACCCGCAAUUCAACAUACACAACAUAAUAUACUGUGCACACAACAACGCAUUACCCAAUAACAGCCAGAGGAACCUUGGGCAGCACACUUCUUUGAGAAUGAUGAAAUAAAUGCUGUUCUGCAAAGAAGCAAUAAAUACCCAUGAGAAUAAAUAAAUUUAGAAAAUUGUCCAGUAGCACCUUAGAGACCAACAAAGUUUGUUCUGAGUAUAAGCUUUCGUGUGCAUGCACACUUCUUCAGAUUCUUCAGAUAAAAGACUAAGUUACAUGUUACAAAAAGGGCAAAUCAGGGGUUGAGUUUUCUCCUCCCCGUUCUAUAGCAUAGAGCAUGGGUAGGCAAACUAAGGCCCGGGGGCCAGAUCUGGCCCAAUCGCCUUCUAAAUCCAGCCCGCGGACAGUCCAGGAAUCAGUGUGUUUUUACAUGAGCAGAAUGUGUGCUUUUAUUUAAAAUGCAUCUCUGGGUUAUUUGUGGGGCAUAUGAAUUCGUUCAUUAUUUUUUUCAAGAUAUAGUCCAGCCCCCCACAAGGUCUGUGGGACAGUGGACCAGCCCCCUGCUGAAAAAGUUUGCUGACCCCUGGAUAGAGUAAAUGAUAGUUGUGAGCUGAGGUCAUGUUUCCCUGCUCCCACACUGCACUAGUGGUUGGGUCUACUGGUGGUGUGGGCAGAGAUGUGACGACAUGAGGGCACAGGUAAACUUACCUAGCCUUAUAUAGGUAAAGGUAAAGGUACCCCUGCCCGUACAGGCCAGUCUUGACAGACUCUAGGGUUGUGCGCUCAUCUCACUCUAGAGGCCGGGAGCCAGCGCUGUCCGCAGACACUUCCGGGUCAUGUGGCCAGCGUGACGAAGCUGCUCCGGCGAACCGGCACCAGAGCAGCACACGGAACGCCGUUUACCUUCCCGCUAGAAAGCGGUACCUAUUUAUCUACUUGCACUUAAUUGUGCUUUCGAACUGCUAGGUGGGCAGGAGCUGGGACCGAACGACGGGAGCUCACCCCGCCACGGGGAUUCUAACCGCCGACCAUGAGAUCGGCAAGUCCUAGGCACUGAGGUUUUACCCACAGCGCCACCCGUGUCCCUUAGCCUUAUAUAUAAUCCCAUAAAACAGGACCAACCCUACUAUUAGACAGAAGGAGGCAACUGCCUAAGGUGGCAUAUAUGGAAGAACAGCAGCAACCCUCAGCUGUUCAUUUUAAGCCCUCCAGCCAUUCUGCUUUGUUACCAUGUAGCCUCUGCUGCUGCUGCUGCUGCUCCUAAUAUGGCCUGCUGCUGCAGGUAUGGUGGAAUACACUAUCUUCUCCCCAAUGUAGAAUUAAGUUUAAACUGCCAAUCCAGUCAGUUUCUAUAUGUGGAAUGCGGAGAAGAGAGGGCACCAUCUUGUCCUUAGCCUCAGGCAGCAAAAUAUUUUGGGCCGGCCUGGCAUAAAGAUUUUUAGCCAACAAAUAUGUAACUAGCCUGCUGGAUGCUGGCAGAGAAGGGUCAACCAGGUCGGUGUUUAAAUACAAGAUGAAAUACAGAUUAGUAAUUUACUAAGGUGCAUGGGAAUAGGGACGCGGGUGGCGUUGUGGGUUAAACUGCAGAGCCUAGGACUUGCCGAUCAGAAGGUCGGCGGUUCAAAUCCCUGUGACGGGGUGAGCUCCCAUUGCUCAGUCCUUGCUCCUGUCAACCUAGCAGUUCGAAAGCAUGUCAAAGUGCAAGUAGAUAAAUAGGUACCACUUCAGCGGGAAGGUAAAUGACGUUUCCGUGCGCUGCUCUGGUUCGACAGAAGCAGCUUAGUCAUGCUGGCCACAUGACCCGGAAGCUGUACGCCGGCUCCCUCAGCCAAUAAAGCGAGAUGAGCGCCGCAACCCCAGAGUUGGCCACGACCCCUAAUGGUCAGGGGUCAUUUUUUUAAGGUACAUGGGGGCCCUGCUCCAAUUUGGGACCCUAUAAGGUGCCACAUGUGGGACGCGGGUGGCACUGUGGGUAAAAACUCAGCGCCUAGGACUUGCCGAUCGCAUGGUCGGCGGUUUGAAUCCCCGCGGCAGGGUGAGCUCCCGUCGUUCGGUCCCAGCUCCUGCCCACCUAGCAGUUUGAAAGCACUCUUAAGUGCAAGUAGAUAAAUAGGUACCGCUUUAUAGCGGGAAGGUAAAUGGCGUUUCCGUGUGCUGCGCUGGUGCAGGCUCCCAGAGCAGCUUCGUCACGCUGGCCACGUGACCCGGCAGUGUCUCCGGACAGCCCUGGCCCCCGGCCUCUUAAGUGAGAUGGGCGCACAACCCUAGAGUCGGACACGACUGGCCCGUACGGGCAGGGGUACCUUUACCUUAAGGUGCCACAAAGUGGUCCUGAUCUGAGAUGGGGCUAACCCAAACCAGAUCCAGACUUUUGGGUGGGGGAAGCCUUGCACAGACCUAUGGGCAGGAGGGCGGGGAGAGAGAGACAUCAGAAAGGGUUGAACUGGCAGCUAGGAGAGGGGAAAGAUGGAGACAUGCAGGUGGUCUGCAUGCAUAUGUACUUCCGCACUCCCAACCACAUAUUUAAUCAGUCUUUAAGAAUCCCUCACUUUUGACAGUCGUACAUCGCUCCAAGUGAACCUGAUUCAACCCGGGGUGAUCUGGGACUGCCUCAACCCAAGCCGACUGAAUCCUGGAUCUACAUGCAUCAGCCUGAUUCAGUUCAGGAACCAGUGCACAGCUUUUCCAUGUUAUAGAAAGGAAGGAAGAGAAGUCAACACAGAGAUGCUGUUUUCAGCAGUAGCCCUGUGGUGAUCAUAAAUGUAAUUUUCCCCAUCAAGGUGCCAGGCACAUUCUUCUUAAUUAAGAAACACAUUAAAAGUGGAAGAAAUGGCACCAUGCUUGCAAUGCUGAACUCUUAUAUUUGAUUCUGUUUAGGUUGCAGCAAAAGUUAAAAGGUACUUCUUAAUAGAAACCUAAGUUAAUCUUAAUUAUUUUGUAGUUACUGCCAUAUGGUAAUUCCGUUUCACUGGCAUUAAAAAUGAUGGGAUCUCAGUGUAUGGUUUAAUAAGAUUAUUCCCCGCUGUUAAUUAUUUGUGCUUCGAGGGUUUGACACAAAGUAAGAUAAGAAGGGGUUUCUCUAGGAUUAUAAAUAUCUGCAUAUUCUUCUUAUUCAUUGAGAGUCAUCUGUUCCAGAAAUACGGGUGGACUACAUUGUUAAUGAGGUUAUUUUGGUACAUGAAAGAUGGAAAAAUCUGUGCUUUAACAUAAAGCAGUCAUGAAGUCUUAUAUUUAAGUGCAAGUUGUUUUCAGAAACUGAAAAAUAAAAUGGGAAUACUUAUAGUGUUUCGGAAAUUUCCCCUUUUUCUUUCAUUCCAAAUGUCCAAACUGAUGUAUAUUUGCAAAGCUGCCUAGACGAGAAACCCCUUUUUAAUAAGUCAAAUGGGAAAGAAUAGAUACACACAGUUUUCUCAGGAUUACAGGAAGAUGUUCUUGGGAAAUGGCUUCAUUUUACAUCGUAGGCUGGAUCUGACAUAGGUUGGGCCGAACAAGCUAGUUCUUGUUUUACUGUUUACCUCACAUUAUAAGCUUCAGUUACUGGGCGGCAGGGGAACCCUUGCAGCACAUUCCUCUUGAAAAAGUCAUAGACUCUCUUUCAAGUUUCUGUAACAAAUUCCACUAAAACCACCUUGCAGUCCCACAAAGAUACAACACAGUGAGGCAAAAGGCAGGAGCAAUUCUACCACCCAGAAGGCAAGAUAAACUAUUUGUCAUAGUAAAUGAUUAAUUUCACAUUCUGAAACAUUCUAAUGAGCGUGUCCUCAAAGGGUCUCGGUAUAUUCCCCCUCCCCUCCCCCAAAAAUGUGCAUGAAACAAAAAAUAUCACAGACCAAUAGUGUUUCUCAAUGAUUCACACUACUCCAGAGGUUUCCACUCCACAGAUUUGCCAUUCACCUGCAUAUUCUCAUGGCACCUAUCUGCAUUCAUAGUUUUACUGAAUAAGAAGAGACCUUGGACGUCAUCUAGCUUAGUCAGAUUUUUCUUGCCAGCUUCCUGUAGCCUCAAAUGGAUUACCUCAGAAGGUGAUGGACUCUCCUUCCUUGGAGGUUUUUAAACAGAGGUUGAAUGGCCAUCUGUUAGGGAUUAUUUAACUGUCACUGAGAUAUCAGGCCACAUUCACACCAUACAUUCAAAGCACUGUCAUACCACUUUAGACAGCCAUGGCUUCCCCCAAAGAAUUCUGGGAGCUGUAGUUUGUUAAGGGAGCUGAAAGUUGUUAGCAGGCCCCUAUUUCCCUCACAGAGCUACAAUUCUCAGAGAGGUUUAGUAAUCAAUCUCUCUUCACAGGGAACUGUAGCUCUGUAAGAGGAAUAGGGGCCACCUCACAACUCUAAGCACCUUAAAUGAACUACAGCUCCCAGAAUUCUUUGGGGAAAGCCAUCGCUGCGUACUGUGGUAUGAUAGUGCUUUAAAUGUUUAGUGUGAAUGUGGCUUUACUGGCAGUGGCUCUCCAGCAUUUCUGACAGGGGUGUCUGCCAACCCUAACUAGAGAUGCUGAGGACUGGAUCUGGGACCUUCUGAGUGCAUGGCAGAUAUUGCACCACUGAGCUAAAGCGCUUCUCCUCAUUCUAAUCAGGCCGCCAUAAGCAGUUGCCUUAUAAUGGAGCCUUUGUUGCUAUGUAUUGCCCUAGCCUGAAGAGAAGAGGGAGAGCAUAAGAUUCACCUUCUUUCCCUCAGCUUUUCUUUCAGCAGGCAAGUUUGAACAAGUGGACCUUUGAUUCAAGCUGACAGAUGUGGGCUGGAAGCUUGCCCAAAUCACCCAAUUUGAAAACAUGCUGUGGCAAACAGGGACUUAAGAAAGCUGGAUCAGGAUUUCAUCUGGAUAAAGAACGAUGAGCUAGCCAAAGGGGAAGAAAGCAUACCUCCAAAUUGUCCUCCUGACAAAACGGCAGCACCGUGCACGUGGCCUCUUUUGGUGGGCGUACAUUUUGUUGGGAAUCUGCCAACAUACUGACACCCUGCAAAACAGUCAGGUGCAUGAUUUCAUACAAAACACUGAAAGCACCAGUAUGUACAGGUUCUCCUUCCCAAAAAACAACACACAUCAGAGCCCAUUUCAUACAUUAUGUCAUAGGGGAAGAACCUCAGAUGUGGCCCUCCAGGACUUUUUUAUCUGGCCCUUGGGUUCACUCUAAGUCAUGACCCUCCACUGAUUACACCUCCUCUCCCAGCCAACACCCUUCACUGGUACUCUUCCCUACCCCCCCCCCCAUGCUUUUGCCUAGCUGAAAUCUGCAAAAGAAAAACAAAUACACUUUUUCAGGUUACUUGGGCUAAGACUUUUUAAAAGUUCACAUUUAUAAACUUGAGAUCAGCCGACUAAAUGCCUUCUAAUACACUUUGGGGAAGAAUUUACCAACAAGCUGCUUUUGUCUGCUAAUAAACAUAGAUCAGGGGUGAUGGUUAGUCUUCUUCACUUACAGUCCAGAAGCAAUCAAAUGAUUAUUUUCUUCCUUAAGCCAAAGGCAGUAUGUUUUUAAAACGCACACAAAUUCUUGGAAAGGUAAAGCAGAGUCAAGAAGACGACUUCAGGCCCCUUUUCAUUAUGGGUGACUACCUCUGUCUGCAAGGUCAUUCAUUAAGGGGAGCACUAGGAAGACUGCCUGUAUUGCUCCUUAUUUUUUUUUCCCUGGUAUUGAUUGACAUGUUUAUAUUGAGAUUUUUCUAUACUAGGAGAAACAGAUAAAUUUUACGCAGGUACACUUAUUUGUUAAGUCUGGAGUUUGCUGAGGCUGCUACCUAUGAAAACUCAUAGUGUGGCUACUAUUAGGGGAGGAAAUAUUUAUUAGAGCUAACAUCUCCUCUGCCUUCUUUAUGCAUCUCCUGGUUCUGGGAGACCAAGGGAGAGGCAAGUUUGCCACAGCAGGAGGGGGAGACACCAAUGCCUCUUCACCAGCCAGACUCAUCUCUGCCUCUUAGCCUGUUACCUCUUCAGUUUCUGACACCUCCUCCCAGUCUACUCCCUCUGACCACUCAUCAUCGUCCUACUACUAAUCCCCUGAUUCUGAGCCUUCUUCCCUUAGGGGUUCGCCAGCACCAUUCCUCUGCGCCCAACUAGUCCAUGACAACAGGUUUCAAUUCCCAUAAAUGUGUCCAGAUCAGAGUGUCAGUUGUAUGUGUUAAGACCACCACAGCUUUUUUUCUUGAUUUCUGAAAGCUUCUGCUGAAGGCUCACGAUGACACUGCUUAAAAAUAUCUAAGUUAAGAACAGUUUGCCCUUCACUCUCUACCAGCCAGAAAAUCAGCCUCUGAAGGAGUGUGAAAUUGCCGUCAUAACAGUUUAGGAAUUAAACAGUACAAUAAUAAACACAGCGAAAGAAAGUAAGAGUGUGUUUCACGAAAUGGAAAGUAAAGUGGAACAGAAGCAAGUGCAGUCGACUGUAAAGUUUCAUUUAAUAGCUGACGUUUUCGAUUUUAUCCAUUGGGACUAACAAAAUGGCUGCAUUGUUAAUGAUUGAUUUGUUAUUUAGAUUUGCUCUUAUGAUGAUCUUAAAGUCAUGGCUGGCUCAAGAUGCUUUGUUGCCUGGGGCAAAUGACAGGAUUACAUCUUCCAUGAUUCUACACACAGAAUCUUCCUUCAGAACUGGUGAUUGGACAGCAUCAUCCACUGGGCCUGAGGGCAGCAGACUACCCUCAGGGGCACAGGACAGAUGCAUGGGAAGCUGCCUUAUAUUGAUAAGUCAGUCCAUUGGCCCUUAUAGCUCAGUACUGUCCACAGUGGAUAAGGUUUACCUGCCACAUUCCACAAUAUAUAGUUGCAUUAAUGUCUUCUUUUAUAUUGACAUUAACAAGUUUUGAAUUUUCCCCACUUCAGUGUUUAUAUUAACUCUAUUACAGUGGUACCUCGGGUUACAGACGCUUCAGGUUACAGACUCCGCCAACCCAGAAAUAGUACCUCGGGUUAAGAACUUUGUAUCAGGAAGAGAACAAAAAUCAUGAGGCGGCAUCGUGGCAGCAGUGGGAGGCCCCAUUAGCUAAAGUGGUACCUCAGGUUAAGAACAGUUUCAGGUUAAGAACGGACCUCCAGAACGAAUUAAGUUCUUAACCCAAGGUACCACUGUAUUGUUAUUAUUUAGAUCUGAACUAUGCCUUCAAGGGGAAGGAGGGAUGUUUAAUUUGUCAUUUUUCUUCUUCAGUAGGUAAUGCCCACAUCUUUUGUAUCAACAGGUUAUCAAGCAAUCACUGCCAAAUCCACUUCUUUGGAUUUCUAACAGACUUACCACAUAAGGUCCUUAUCCCACAGUCAGUUUUGACAGAGCAGUCACUAUGUAGGGGAGCUGUGAAUUUACUCAGGUACAAAUCUCACAUUGGCUAGGCUAGGGGAGCAUAGGAGGAAUAGCUGUUUCUCAGCUCAGCCCCAUUUCCAGUCUGAGCAUAAUAAUACCAGCAAAUAUUACAGGCUUACUGAGAUAAAAUAGGAAAGCUUGAAUUCUGCUAUGUAAAUGCUAAGUAUUAAUUCAGAGGAAGAUCCCUUGCAUUUCCAUGUUGUUGCAAAGAUUAAUGCCGUUAUUUAUUUAUUUCGGGUUUUUUAUCCUGUCUGAUUGCCAAAGGCUUUGGGCAGGAAACACAUUUAGAAACAAUAAUCAAGAAUGUGUAAAAUGUAUAAAUGGCCAGAAUGGGUGCAUGCCUGUGGUGAUGUUGCACUGCUUCCAUUAACUUCAGCAGAUAUUUUGCAGGGUGGAAACAUCCUGUUUCACACAGUUGCUUCCAAAAAGUGAACAAUACAGAACAACAAACCCCUGCAUUGCAAACUUAACACAACAAACAACACAAACAACACGAAGUAUACUAGAUAGCACUGCAAUUCUUAUACAUGUUUUAGUACAACAAAAACAAAAUGUGUACACUUGUAAAUUCUCUAAUAUAUUUGAGGGCCCACAGGAUAGUAUCUAUUACUUUGUUUCAACUAUAGACUUAUUAUACUUCUAUGGACGUUCAAAGAUUGACAGACGUGUGUUCAUUUGAUUUCAAAUAUAUUAGAGAAUUUGCAAGAGUAUACAUUUUGUUUUUGUUCUACUAAAUCAUGUAUAUCAUUCAAUAAGAACUGCAGUGCUAUCUAGUAUACUGGUCUUCAUGUUGCUUGUAUUGUUUGUUGUUCCAAAAAGUGAACAAACAGACAGUAGCCCUCAUCUCUGUUGACUCCUGGCAACUGUCUGUUAGCAUAAUGUCACCAUAGUUAAGAGCCAAUGGCACACCUGUCUUCCAUGAAAUUUGUCUAAUCCCCAUUUGAAGCCAUCUAAGCCAGUAGUCAUCACAUUGUAAAAUCCCCCCCAUUCCCCCUGAAAGGAUCAUUCAGGUUUGCUUUUGUCACCCUCUAAGAGGAAGAGAGGUCCAAAGUUGAGCAGAGGCCACCAUGAAUGACCCUCUACAGGUUGUUGACCUUCAGGCUUUGCAUACAAAAGUCACAUCUCUGUCUUGGCUGAAGUAAGAUAAACACAACCUCUCUGUUCUUUUCUCCUCAAAUUAUAUACUGUUUUUGUUCAGUUUUCCUCGGUUAUUGGGAUUUAUUUUUUCUCUGGACUCCACCUGCAGUAUUUAAGCUAUUUUGCAAACAGAAAGUGUUUUCCCAUCAAGUAACUACAUGGGUUCACAAGAAGCAUUUUGAGUUUUCCCCAAACUUAUCUUUCACCCCUCCCUCUCUGUCACUGCCCAUAUACUUGCAGCUUUUUCUUUUUUAAUCACAAGCAUGUAUUUGAAUGAUCUCAGCUUUUUAGAGCCUCCAUCUAACCUUAAUUGCAACUUUGAUUUUAGUCGUGUGAAGUACUGAUUACAAUAAAACUGGGCUAUGUGUGCACUCAGAUGAUAAAUAUAGAUGCACAACCUCUCUCCUGAUCGUCUUCACAAACAGACAAUCAAAUCAAAAUGCAAACUGUUUUUUGAAAGAAAAAAAUAGAUACGUUUCUGUGCAAGUUGCCACUUCCAAUGUGUCAUUUUCCCCUUCCACGAAAGAACUAAUGUUGUUACUGUUCCUGCCAAAAAAGAAAAAGAAAAAGCCCUGAGGGGCCCAUAGAAAUCACUCGAAAAAACAGUGAUUAGAUAAAGACAAUUUAUGUUAUUGAUGGCUCCUUUGACCUGUAAAGAACUUUAAAUGAAGGACAAUUUCAAUUACUCCACCUUUCAGUGCUCUGUACAGUGCCUGCUUCCUCUUUUUAAAGGAAGAACUUAAAUGGUGCCUGUAAAAUAUAGCACUGCGAGUGACGUUUAGAACCCACAAGUGCUGCUGGCUGGGUCAGAAAUCAUUAAUCUUCAUGAGUGACAAUCUUCCAGAUCUUAGCAAUAUACCUUCUCCCUGAGGAGGAGGGGAAAGAAGGAAGUGAGCCGGGCAGCUGAGUGACCUUGAUGUGUUGAGAGUCACCAUCGCAAGUUGCGAGUCAGCCCUGCAUGAGUGCACUGCUGGGAUGCUGGCGAUGUUAUUAAAGCCAGACAACAGCACUAAUAUCGCCAGAGGCGCUGAGAUUAGAAUGAAGCUUUGUGAGACAGGGGGAAGUGGAGCAGACAGAAUCAAGCCUGGAUAUUGGGGCCGGGGAGAGCAGAGGAGAACCGAGAGGAGGAAAAGCAUGGGGGAUAGGGGAGAGAGAGAUCUUUACGCCUAGCCAUACAAGUGUAGUUGUGAGGAGGGUGAAUGUAAGAACAUAAGAAGAGCCCGCUGGAUCAGGCCAAUGGUCCAUCUGGCUCAGCAUCCUGUUCUCACAGUGACCAACCAGAUGCCUGUGGGAAACUCACAAGCAGGACUUGAGCUCAAGAGCACUCUCCCUGCCUGUACAGUGGUACCUCAGGUUAAGUACUUAAUUUGUUCUGGAGGUCCGUUCUUAACCUGAAACUGUUCUCAACCUGAAGACCACUUUAGCUAAUGGGGCCUCCUGCUGCCACUGCGCCGCCGGAGCCCAAUUUCUGUUCUCAUCCUGAAGCAAAGUUCUUAACCUGAAGCACUAUUUCUGGGUUAGUGGAGUGUGUAACCUGAAGUGUAUGUAACCUGAAGCGUAUGUAACCCGAGGUACCGCUGUAGUUUCCAGCAACAUAGCAUAGGCAACAUAAAAAGUUGCCUACAAGAAACAGAAAGUGGUGCCAUCAAGACACAACUUUAGGGCACAGGUCCAGGGCUCCACUCAGAAAAAUGAGCAAGCUGGGACGCAGUGUGGUGUAGUGGUUAAGAGCGGUAGUCUCGUAAUCUGGGGAACCGGGUUCACGUCUCCGCUCCUCCACAUGCAGCUGCUGGGUGACCUUGGGCUAGUCACACUUCUCUGAAGUCUCUUAGCCUCACUCACCUCACAGAGUGUUAGUUGUGGGGGAGGAAGGGAAAGGAGAAUGUUAGCAGCUUUGAGACUCCUUAAAGGGAUUGAAAGGCGGGAUAUCAAAUCCAAACUUUUCUUCAAAUCCAAACUCUACAUUUUGAAUCAGCAUUAUCAACUAAAGAAAGAGGCCUCCAUAAGAUCAUUAAGUCUAGGGUCUAAAAUUACCUAAGUCUAGCACGGGGAACUCAGGUGCAGUUUUCAGGAAAACCAAAGUGGCUUCUGCUAGAAUUCCAGGUCAUUUUAAAACUGAUAGUUGUGUGUCCCAAUGGACUGCAUGGUUCUUGCUGGCUGGCACACAGCAAACAUGUUUUGAACACAAAAUGGGAAAUUUUAAUUUAAGGCAUUGUGAAUAUGAAAUAUCCAGCGCAUCAGCAGUGUAAACAGAACCAUCCGAAAAAUGAGUGUAUACAAGGGAUGCGUACCAAACACAGGAUUUGGUUUGGUCCAAAAUUUGGCGCUUUGGAAGCAGCUCAGUUCAAUUCAGGGUCCAUAGCCAAGGCUGCUUUGGGAAAAUCAGGGCUUCAUACCUCUACACACACCCCAAAUUCAGUAAUUCAGUAAUUGGACAUUUUAAAAAUUACUAUUUCCUCCCCUUUUGACAGAAGUGGACAUUUACAGGCAUAGCAGCCCCUCCAGAGUGAAUACUGCCUGCCAUUUACAGGCAAAUAAGUUGUGUGUGUGUGUGUGUGUGUGUGCGCGCGCGCGCGCACGUGCACGUGUGUGUGUGUGUGUGUGUGCAUGUACACACUGAACACCUUUAAAGUUUGAUUUUUUAAAAACAAAGAAGCAUCUUUAACCUAUUUUUGACAAAUUUUGAAAAUGUUUGAAGGUAUCACAGAAAACUCAUGACAAAUUUCAGAAGGAAAGGUGCAAAAUUCAGAAGUUUCUCCCACAAGGCUGGCCUUUCCAGUUUUGGGGUGGGUAAAAAAAGGAAGCAUUUACUCUCUCCUACUAUAUUGAGCAGAAGUGAGAGUGAGUGGUGUCCUUAGGUAAGAGACCUGGCAAGUUUUAGACAAAUUGGUGAAGGAUCCCAGUCAUCUACUGCAUCUGGUCCCCCAAGUUUGAGAAUAAAAUGCAGCAUCUUGAACUGCCAGAGCUGGGAAUUUAUUUAAGGUCUGUUUAUUUAAGGGAUUCGAAUGAAGUCAGAGAAAUGAAUCAUGAGCUUUCCCUGUCCCCUUGAAGUGAAUGUGAGAUUAUAUGCUCUUCCCCCUCUGAUCUGCUAUACAGACACUUCAAGCCCAGCAUAAAAUUGUCAUGAGUACAACAUCUCGGGAUCUGUCAAGCGUGAGUAAACAAUGGAAUACAAGAAGCACUUGGAUGUCUUUGUUUUUCAAAGCUGGAAAAACAAAAACAAAGAAACUGUGUUUGUGGCUUCCUCGCUGGAAAGGAAAGGAGAAGGGAGGCACACAAAAAUGUACCAUCAUGCCGUGAGCUUUGAAUACAAGGCUUGUAAAAAGAAACUCUGGCUUCCCAGGAUGUUGGAUGUCAAGCAAACAUGCUAUCGGAAAGGCACCUAACUCCUUUCAAAGGAGGCUCCUGCCUAAGACAUCACCAGGCGCAGUGCGGCUUAUUUCUGUGUGCCUGAUUGCUACAACACACACAGUUAAAAGGAGGGGCCUACAGAGACUUGGUCAAGUCCAAUACAUUUGCUUGGCUCAUGCUGUUGCAGUGCACAGUUGGAAAUUUACUCCCCAUGGAUCUUUUGCGACGGCACAGAGAUGCUGCAGUGCAACUCUCAGAUCGUAUGCUGCCCUGUAAAAAGCAGCUUGAGAUGCUUAGGCUAUAAGGCUGCCCUAAGCAGCCAUGCUUCUUUCACACAUAAUGUGCUUAAUGGGAUGGGAUAACUAGCCAUGAUGUCUAGGUUUGAGAAACCUAGACAGCAUCUUAAAAAGUAGAGAAAUCACCUUGCCAACAAAGGUCCGUAUAGUAAAAGCUAUGGUUUUCCCAGUAGUGAUGUAUGGAAGUGAAAGCUGGACCAUAAAGAAGGCUGAUCGCCGAAGAAUUGAUGCUUUUGAAUAAUGGUGCUGGAGGAGACUCUUGAGAGUCCCAUGGACUGCAAGAAGAUCAAAUCUAUCCAUUCUGAAGGAAAUCAGCCCUGAGUGCUCACUGGAAGGACAGAUCGUGAAGCUGAGGCUCCAGUACUUUGGCCACCUCAUGAGAAGAGAAGACUCCCUGGAAAAGACCCUGAUGCUGGGAAAGAUGGAGGGCACAAGGAGAAGGGGACGACAGAGGACAAGAUGGUUGGAUAGUGUUCUCGAAGCUACCAGCGUGAGUUUGACCAAACUGCGGGAGGCAGUGGAAGUGCCUGGUGUGCUCUGGUCCAUGGGGUCACGAAGAGUCGGACACAACUAAACGACUAAACAACAACAACUAGCCAUGAUGGCUAUGCUCUGCCUCCAUCAUGCUACUGGAUGCCUGUUGCUGGAAAUCACAGGAGGGGAGAGUGCCCUGCUUGGAGGUUUCCCAUGGGCAUCUGGGUAGUCACUGUGAGAACAGGGUGCUGGAAUUGGUGGCCUAAUCUAGCAGGCAAUUCGCAUGUUCUUAGCACAAAUUGCAUCAUCACAAAGAUCCUCAGGAACCACCACUUUGUUCUCAGCUAAGUGCCAAAUUAGGGGUCAAUGAAUCUGUCAAUUUCAGUUUCUCUCCUUUUCUCCUUUUACCAGUUGUGCAUUCCACAUUUCCACAUCAGUUUGCGUUAAAAAAAGUUCUCAAUUUUUUUUGUCAGCACUUUUGUGCAAAUUCCUCCUACUAGAUGCAUUUUAUAGCAAUUUCCCCUAAUAGACACAUAUUUUCCAAAAGCAAAUUUUCCCAAUAUAAAAUGCAUUUUAUAUGUAAUUUUUACCAAUAUUUGCAUUUCUCUGCACCUAGUAGGUGCAUUUUUGUACAUGUUAUUGGCAGGAGUACUACAAUGCGAAAUUUGGACAAGUGUGAAUUCUGAAAUUUUGGACAAGCGUGAAUGCAGUUUGCUUUUAAAUGCAACCUGAAUCAAAAUUCUUCACAAUCCUUAGUGCCAAAGCAGAUCCUUGGCAGAUACUUCCAACAACAGAAACCACAUCUAAGCACCAUUACCUAUGAUUUGUGGUGCGAUGCAAUUCGCCUUGGCUGUACUGAGUUAUCCAUUUAGCUUUAAACCCUUCAUUUAUCCUUUUGGCUUGACUACGAGCUAAAUCUACCAUUAAAUUUUAACCUUUGGGCUCAUCUCAGGUUACAUUUCAUUCUCCGCCUCCCGAAAAAGCAUAUUCAGUCAUGUAGCUGUUGAUACAUUUUAAUCCUUUUACUGUUGAUUCCAGUGUUUUAUGUUUUUAACUGCAUUUACUGAUCAUUUUAAUACUUCUUAUAAACCGCUGAAAGGUUUUAUUACAAUCAAGUAGUAUAUAACUUUUCUGAAAUGAAUAAAAUAAAAAAGGAAAUGCAUCUACAGAAAAGAUGCCCAAAGAUGGCUGGGUGUCAGGGACUGACAGUUAAAGGCAGCAAACUGGAAGCAGAGGAAGAGAGAGAUGGUUGGUGUCUGUUUGAAACCAAGGUUCAUGUGGCUAAGGGAGAAGCAAGACUCUAUUGGCAUGUGAGUGCUGUGAGCCCCUCUAUCGCAGGCUCUUUGAUUCUCUCACUCUCUCUCUCCCCGUCCCCCCCCCCCCACAAUGUUUCAUAAAUACACCACAGUCUCCACUGUUCCACAUUUCAGAAAAAACCCCACAGAUCUUAGGCAAGAGCCUAGAACCCCUCAAUCUCACACCGCUCAGAGAUUAGGGUUGUAUGUAACAAUAUGAUUUGAUGCAAUGCUCAAAGUCAGCACGCAGUGCCAGAUUUACAUAUAAGCUAAACAAGCUAUAGCUUAGGGCCCCACUCUCUUGGGGCGCCCCAAAAAAAUUCAAAGGAAAAAGGUGUUUGCAUUAUUAAGUUUGUUGUGAAUUUUAAAAAAUCAUUUUAAGUUAGCUUAAUAAUUAUUUCACUAUUAAUAUACUUCUUCUUAAUUGUAUUUCAGUUCAACAAUUACUUUGAUAAAAUUGUUGGGAUACUGCCAGGGAGAUAAAGUCCAUCAAGGCCCCCAAGCCGUCUGCCGGACGAUCCAUCGACCUGCCGUAGGCACGCAGCGACAUGAGUUUCUAGAAAAUAUCUUGCCACAUUCUAGAGCUCAUGCACGCUCUAUCAGCAGAUAAUGCACAGCCAAAAGUUGCAGUCAGGAGAGCAUUAUUUACAAGUUUAUUCAGCGUUGAUCAGAACACAGAAAAACAUGACUGACUGCUUUAGUGUCUGCGACACAGAGAGAGAAAACGAAAGCAACAGAAAACAUAAACAUCCUGUGAACAGGAAAUACGCAGACUCUGACUCACAAAGCCUGCUCCCUUUUAAGGUGGAACGGAAAUAUCCUAACAUCCUCCCCUUUCCGUGUAACCUGUAGUACCUGUGGUUCAACCCAAUUGCAACCUUUGUACGUAAACCUUAAGUUGUUCUCUGUUAACAACCUUAGACAACAGAUCAGCAGGAAUUUCAUUUCCUGGCAUGUAGGACACCUGAAUGAGUCCUUUCUGAAUACACUCUCUUGCACGAUGUAACUUAAUCUGCAAGUACUUGGUUCUUUGCUUGCAACUCUCUGAGUUCAGCAAAGCCAAACACGAUCUAUUGUCUUGAUACACUUGUACAGGACAUUUCACAGAAACUCUGAUGUCCUUAAACAGUUGCAUCAACCAUUCACAAUCCAUGAGUGAAAAUGACAGAGCAUUGAGUUCUGCUUCACAGGAACUUAGGCUCACUGUCGUCUGCUUUUGCACAACCAGUCAAACAGGCAGUGGUUGUACAUGUAGCAUACUCCAGAAGUGCUUGUACCAUCCGUGGUGUCACUUCCAAAACUUGCAUCUGCAAAGAUUUCAAGACCUCCAGUCUUCUGACUGGUGAACCUCAGCCUGUAGUGCAUAGUCCCUUUCAAAUAGCGGGCUAUGCGCUUCAGAGCUUUCCAAUCCUGAACAGUAGGAUUGUUAGCAUGUCUGCUAAGCAGGUUAGUGCUUACAGCUAUGUCAGGUCUUGAGCAUCUAGCAAUGAAAUUCAACUUGCCUAGAAUGCAUCUGUACAGCGUUGUGUCAGAAAACGCUUCAGCAGUACUGUCUACCUGGUAACCUGUCACCAUCGGUGUGUCUGCUGGGUUUGCAUCAACCAAAUUCAACCUGGUUAAUACAUCAGCAAUUUUCUGUGUUUGGUGUACCAGAAAAUUACCUGCUUGGUCCCUCUCCACCUGCAGAGAAAGAUAGUUGGAUACCUCACCAAGAUCCUUCAUGUCAAAGUGCUCCUUCAGCUGAGCUAGGGUGCUUUGGUACAAAGCCUGAUUCUUCCAAAACAUCAGAAGAUCAUCAACAAAACAUAAACAAUACAGUUUGUUUUGCCCCUCCUCCUUGACAAACACACAUGGAUCAGCUUUGCCCUGGUGAAAACCUAGAGAAAGCAAUGUCUCAGUGAGCUUUGUGUUCCAACACCUGGCACUCUGCUUGAGACCAUAUAAGGAUUUCCGCAGUUUACAGACCAUUCCCUUCUGUAUCUGCAUCCCAUCAGGUGGAAGCAUAAACAGCUCCUCCUCCAAAAUCCCGUACAAAAAAGCUGUAUUAAUGUCAUGAUGGGAAACAUGCAGUUUCUCCUCUGCAGCUAUCUUGAGCAUCAGCCGAAUGCUCUCAUAUUUGACUGUGGGUGAGUAGGUCUCGUGGUAAUCCUGUCCUGGUACCUGUGAAAAACCUCUGGCAACCAAUCUGGCUUUGUGUCUGACAACCUUGCCAUUCUGGUCUGUCUUGGCCUUGAAGACCCAUUUGCUGCCAACCAGUCUCAUUCCUGGGACUACCGGUACCAGUUCCCAAGUUUGGUUCCUGUUCAAGGAAUCAACUUCAGCCUUCAUGGCAUUAAGCCAAGGCUCAGCAUCUUUAGAGGUUAACUCCUGAACCUCUUUGAAGCUUGAAGGUUCCCACACCUUCUCUGAGCUACUAAGAACAGCAGUUGCUGUCUUAGCAAACUCAUCAGCAAAUCUCUUUGGAGGUCUGCCCUUCGUGGCUCUCUCAGAUCUGCGUACUAGACGCAAGUCUUCUGGACUCAUCUCCUCCUUCUUAGGAGAAAAGUGACCAAUGGUGAACAGUGGUUCUUCCAGUUCAUUGUCAGACGCAUCAGAUGGUCUGACUGAGGCCUUUGCGCUCUUGUAGUCUGCUGUGUCAUCACUGUCACUGACACCAGCAGCAGCGCCGCCCACUGAACUGGAAUCCGAACUCUGAUCAUCAUCGUCAUCAUCAUCCUCAGCAGCUUCCUCAGCUUUAGCUGCUUCUUUGACAUCACCUUCAUCCUCCUCUGGGUAACUCUGGAAAAUUCCCACAUUUUCCCCCCACUUAGGAUUGUACUCAACACUCUUUGUGAACUUAAUGGACUUAGAGUUAGUCAUCCAUACCCUGUAUGCACCUUUUCGUACCCCAUGAACAAACCAUGUGCCCCACGCUUCCCAAGCUUGUUGCUCUGUGGGGUGUGUACCCACAUGUCAGAACCAAAGAUUCUCAUGUGCUUGAUGUUGGGUUUCUUACCAAACAUCUUCUCAUAGGUGGUACAACCAAUAGGUGAUGACAAUCUGCGAUUAUAAGUGUAAGCAAAAUUCGACAGAGCCUCCCCCCAAUACUUAUCAGGGAGAUUGGCAUCAUGCAACAAUGUUUUCAUUCCUUGCAGCAACGUUUGAUUUGCUCGCUCCGCAAGCCCAUUCAUCCAUGGCGAUCUAGGCGUUGACAAGUCAUGCUGGAUUCCCUUCUCAGUCAGGAAAGCUUCAAACUGCUGAGAAGUGAACUCCCCGCCUCGAUCAGUAAACAGACAGCCAAUGCGUUUACCGUGAACAUUCUCCAACCAAGCACAGAAUGCCUUGAACUUAGGAAACGCUUGCGAUUUCUGCUCGAGCAUAAACACAUGAAUGUACCUGGAAAAAGAAUCAAUUAGAACCAUGAAGUACCUUGCUCCACCCAAAGAGGGCGCAAGUGGACCAACCAGGUCUGCGUGCACUAGCUGGUAGGGUUUGGAAGCCUGCCUGCUAGACUCCUUGCCUUUUGGAGCAACCUUCACCUUGUUCUCUGCACAAGAUACACAUUUCAUGUGAAACUUACAGGGUUUGAUGUUCAAACCCUCAACCAUCUCUGGCAUCUUGGCCAGUGCCUUCCAAGAGAGGUGGCAAAACCUUCGAUGUGCAUCGUGAAUGCAUCCUGCAUGAAGAACUUUGUUAGUUUGUGCAACACAACAAGAAUCAACAUUAGACACAACAGCACCAAUGUCAUCAUAAGUUAUACAGAACAAGCCAUCCAUAAACUUUGCAUGCAAAAUGUCCUCUUUGCCUUUUCUGAUGACACAGACGCUCCUCUUGAAGGAAAUCUCAAAACCACGCCCAGUCAACUGUGGGACACUGAGCAAAUUGUCUGCAGCGCCUGGAACAUACAGUACAUCUUUGAUGGUAGUGUGCAGACUUGCCAGUUUCACAGUCCCUUCUCCUGCGAUUCGCAACGUCUUUCCAUCAGCCAGGUGGAUCUCACCUUCUUGAGGUUUGAAGGAGAUAAAGAGAUGGCGGUCUUUUGAGACAUGGCGGGUACAGCCUGAAUCAACAACAAACCUGGCUUUGGCCUUCGGAGCAGUCUUUGCAGCAAGCAAAACCUUGUUUUCCACCGGCGUGGGCUUUUGCAGCUUGCCCCCCCUGCUCCUGGCCAUCAGACUUGCCUUUAGCCUUUGGUGAAGCUGUGCCAGCAAACAAAACCUUGUUUUCCACUGGCGUGGGCUUUUGCAGCUUGCCCCCUGCUCCUGGCCAUCAGACUUGCCUUUAGCCUUUGGUGAAGCUGUGCCAGCAAACAAAACCUUGUUUUCCUCUGGCGUGGGCUCUUCACCCUCCCUCUGCUUCUGGCCAUCUGCAGGCGUCUGCCUCUGUUUACCUUUGCCCUUCCGGCCUCUGCAAAGGCGAUGACCUUGGCUCCCAUGAGAAACAGAGCUCUCAGCUGCCGACUCCUUGGCUCCCCUGGAGGCUGGAAUGGUGCCUGGGAUGACGUGACAGUCAGCUUCCCCUGCAGCUUGCAACCGGUGCCCUCGGCAUCCCUGCAUUCACUCGCAUUCUGGGAAACAGCCAGGACCUCCGAUGCAGUCAAACUCUGGGCUGGGAUGACUGGCAAAUGGGCUAUCUUCAAAGCAUGCCACAUCUUACGUGCAGUCACAUUGCCAGCAAGCGUCUUAAUUUCCUCCAGAGACACGGACAAGACUAGUAUGUCUAUCGCCUUCGAAUUUUCGGCCCUCCAUCUAUCUGUCAGAGGAACUGGAGGGGCUUCAGACACAGUAUGCCACACUCCAAACUGACGCAGCAAGCUCUCACACCAUUUUGCCCAGGUCUGAUAGUUGUGCCGAUUUAACUUUGGGCACUCAGCAGCCUCAGAAGCUUGGAAAAACUCCAUUCCAGGUUUCUAUUCGAGCCGUGAGUCUAAUUCACUUCAGAGACGUCUUAUCUCGGCAGCUCAUAAAUCUUGAGGCCUUUGGCGCGGCUCCCAGACCCAUUAGAUCUGCCGGACGUUCAAAGGCCCUUGCCGCGGCAAACAGAAAAGCCUCACUUUCGCUUUUCCUCCACAUACCUUUCAGCAGUCUGUCGCAGUCUUACUCUCCUGUAAGUGCUGUGAAUCUGGGCCCGAAACCUGUUGUUGGGAUACUGCCAGGGAGAUAAAGUCCAUCAAGGCCCCCAAGCCGUCUGCCGGACGAUCCAUCGACCUCCCGUAGGCACGCAGCGACAUGAGUUUCUAGAAAAUAUCUUGCCACAUUCUAGAGCUCAUGCACGCUCUAUCAGCAGAUAAUGCACAGCCAAAAGUUGCAGUCAGGAGAGCAUUAUUUACAAGUUUAUUCAGCGUUGAUCAGAACACAGAAAAACAUGACUGACUGCUUUAGUGUCUGCGACACAGAGAGAAAACGAAAGCAACAGAAAACAUAAACAUCCUGUGAACAGGAAAUACGCAGACUCUGACUCACAAAGCCUGCUCCCUUUUAAGGUGGAACGGAAAUAUCCUAACAAAAAUACCUAUUUUGUUAUGUGCAAAUGGCUUCAAAUACCUAUAAGGUCCAUAAAUUACCAUGUAACAUAUAUUCAACACACAAAAAACAGUGUCAAUUUGUUGUUGACAAAGGACAGGUGGACAUAUAAAGGGCCCCAUUACCUUCAGUAGCUUAGGGCCUCAUCACCAUGCAUGUCAAAGUGGGAAUCACUCAGACGUCUCCUCAACCAUGUGCAACAACAGAACAAUAUUUAAUUUAUUUUUGACUCAUACUGAAGCAUUCACACAGGGCAGGGGGUUUAGGGAAAGAUGCUUCAUUUGAAUUCAGAGUAGUUGUAUGGAUCACAGCAUCUUCAUUCUCUCCUCCCCAGCACACCUUCAGGCAGUCUCCUUGUAUCUGCACUGCCCGCUGAAUUGCCACAGGCACACUUACCUUUCCUACACAGCUCCACUUAAUGAGCAAAGCUGUUUACUAGGGAAAUAGUGAGGUUAAGGAGCUGAAAGCAAUCUCCUCUUUCUCUCUGAUUCUAGUCCUCCACCUUCUUUUUUUAUGAUGGGAGAAAUGGGACAGCUUAGAUUUCCCAGUACAGAAACAGCGCUAACUCUGUGGGAUUAAGGCAAAUGUCCAGCUAAGAUCCUUAUUUAGCGUUGCUAUGUGGAGGGUGUUCACAAUUGUGGUUGGGUAUUGCUACUAUAAUUAAGAUUUAGACUGGAGUGUUGCAUUGAAACAGAUCCAAUGUUCAGAAACUACAUUUAGACUUUACUAGCUACCAGAGCCUUCAUAAAUGCAAGCCCCAUGUGGAGCAGACAAACAGCGUGAUCCUAAAUGUGACAACUCAGAAGUAAUUGCCAUUCAUUUCAGUGGGACUUUAAUCCCAGGGACAUGGGAUAUCAGAUUGCGGCCUGAAUUACAUGAGUUUAUAACAGAAGGUAGAGCAGCACUGUUGCUGAGUUUUUACAGUUUGCUAGCAUAAACUCUGCUGAGUGACCAAGGAUGUGCUUAUUUAUAACUGCCUCCCCCACAAAGCCCUGGGUAGAUUCUGUGAAUACAGUGGUACCUCGGGUUAAGAACUUAAUUCGUUCUGGAGGUCCGUUCUUAACCUGAAACUGUUCUUAACCUGAGGUACCACUUUAGCUAAUGGGGCCUCCCGCUGCUGCCGCACGAUUUCUGUUCUCAUCCUGAAGCAAAGUUCUUAACCUGAAGAACUAUUUCUGGGUUAGCAGAGUCUGUAACCUGAAGCAUCUGUAACCCAAGGUACCACUGUAGAUACUGUAGGUUGUCCCAAUCUAAGCAACUGGGUGUGCCUAAACUGCAAUUAUGAGCUUUCUGCAUUUCAGUUCCCCUUCAAUUCUAUCAUGUCACUUCAUGAUCUGCUAGGAUGUCCAUGCAUCUUGCAUUACUUGAGGAAAGUCUAGGAAAACAGGCAGUUGCCUUAUACUGAGUCAAAUUAUUGGUCCGUCUAGCUCUGUGCUGUCUAUGCUGAUCAGCUGUGGUUCUCCAGGGUUUCAGACAAGGGAUGCCCCCAGCCCUACCUUGAGAUGCUGUGAAUCAAACCUGCGGCCUAUUGCAUGCAAUGCAUGUGCUUUACUACUGAGCCACAACCUUUCCACCAGCUGCUACACUUCUGAGCUGGUGCACAGGUCACCAGAUGAGAUCACAGAAGAAAUAAUUGGAAGGGACCUUGAGGAUUGUCUAGUCUAACCCCCUGCACUUAGGAGUCUCAACGCACAGUCCCCCACCCCCAAUUUGAAACCAUACCUGACUCUGUUCAGCUUGCAAAUGUGCUAGCAGUUUUACUGCCGCACCACUAUAUGUUGCAUUUCUGUUUUAAACUGCAGGCAUUAUUUACGGGACAAAUAUAUACCACAUAUGUAUAUACAUUAAAAUCAGCACGUGCACAUUUUAUUCUAAUCCGUGCCCUGUCUUGCCUUCUUGUUUUGGUGAUGUAGCCACUGCUGCUCUAAGAAGAGCCAUAGCUCAGUAUCAGGCCACAUGCUAGCAUGCACAGAAUCAAUCCCUGACAUCGCCAGUCAAAGGCUCUGAAGUGUAAGGGCUAUGAAAGGCACCUGGGACACUGAAGAACCACUGUCCAUUUCACAGUAGGCAAUAUUGUGCUAGAUAGACCAUUAGUCCCACUUGGUGUUAAUUUAAAGGCAUAGGUAAAGGAUCCCUGACAGUUAAGUCCAGUUGCAGACAACUCUGGGGUUGCGGUGCUCAUCUCGCUUUCAGGCUGAGGGAGCUGACGUUUGUCCACAGACAGUUUUUCCGGGUCAUGUGGCCAGCAUUACUAAUCUGCUUCUGGUGAAUCAGAGCAGCACACAGAAAUGCCGUUUACCUUCCCACUGGAAAGGUACCUAUUUAUCUACUUGCACUUGGACAUGCUUUCGAACUGCUGGGUUGGCAGGAGCUGGGACCGAGCAAUGGGAGCUCACCCCGUUGCGGGGAUUCGAACCGCCAACCUUCUGACAGGCGAGCCCAAGAGGCUCAGUGGUUUAGACCACAGUGCCACCCACAUCCAUGGUGUUACUUUAGCAUGUUCAUAUAAGAGUUUUUCAUUGCUGCUGUUGAAUCACCAUGAUAAUGGGCAGGGAAAAUAGAAACUGGCAUCAGGUCCUUUGGGCUGAACCACAAGGCAAGAUUUGGAUCUGGACCACUACACACACACACACACACACACACACACACACACUAUCCCAAAUGGAACCUAAAGUCCCAUAUUCUCAUUCUCUAUCCGAGCAUAGACAUCCUCGUUUUUUGUGAGAGCUCUUCAUCAGAGUUAUAGCACACACAGCACAAUGCAUAAUUCGUCAUGGUUAAAAGCUGCAUUUAAAACCCACAGUGUAGAAACGUUCUCCAAUCAGCUAGAUGAAGCCAACUGGCAGAUCAGAACAUCAGAAGCGUAUUCAAACCAAAAACAAACAAUGGAGCCAUCCAUUUCCUACCCAAAAAAGACAAUGUUGCAAACUGUAGCUGUUUAGAAGUGGUAGUUAGAAUACAUUGACUCUCCUUCUGCAUAAUAGCAAGGCGGGUGGGGCUCAAAGCAAAGGAGGGAUGUGCCAAAAGAAACAAGCAAUUCAAAUAAUAACAUACCCUCCAACAUUUCUCCAAUGAAAAUAGGGACGUCUCAUUCCAUGAUGAUACUUUUACCAUUUAUAUCCCACACAUAUUACUGGGUUGCCCCGGCCACUCUAGGCAGCUUCCAACAUAUAUAAUAACACAAUAAAGCAUUAAACAUUAAAAAACAACCUUCCCUAUACAGGAUUGCUUUCAGAUGGCUCAGGAGUCGGGUAACUCCAUACCCUCCAACAUUUUUCCAAUGAAAAUAGGGACAUCCUCAUUUUCGCCAUGAUAAUAGCAAAUGCAAAGGAUAUUUGCAAGGAACUCUCCAUGAGAGAAAGAGAGGGUUAACUCCUCCUGGACACAUCAAUUCUCCCCUGAAAUUGAUCUCCGGGUGUCAUUUUCUUUCAACCAAGUUCAUUUCUAGUUUUGAAGUGCCUUUGGGGACUGGACUUUAAGAAAAAACAUGGGGGAAAGGGAUUUGCAAAAGAAAAUCUUUGAAUCGUGAAGGAUUAAGAAGUUCCCUCCUACAUGGCAAUAUUCUCCUGCAAUAGUGAGAUAAAUUUAAUAAACCUAACCUAUUGCUAAACCUCACCCAAAAAAUAUCCUGAAGGGAUAUACAACUGAGUAAAAAAAAUACAAUAAUGUAAAAACUGAUAUGCAUGCUAAAAACAUAUUUAAUUACCAUGAAAACAAAAACAUCUUUGCCUGGCACUCAAACAAUGACAAGGUUGGUGGCAGGCAGGCAGGCUCUCCUGGGAAGAGCAUUCCAUAAUGUGAGCCCCACACAUCAGCAAUUCAAGGAAAACAUGGAAUUGUGAGUUAUGGGUUUCUACUGUAACACAUAGUUUGGCUUUAGUCUUCUUGAUCAUAAGAUUGCCCAUUUAUCAAUAUUUCUAAUUCUGUUGUUCGGACUGCGAGUGCUUAUGUGGUCAAAGCCUCACCAAGCAUACACAAAGAAGGGGAAACAGUAGGCUUGGAGAAACUCCCAGGUUUGCAAAAGUACCUUUUUAACAAGGGUGGAAUUCUAGGAGUGUGGGAGAAAGCCACCCAAAACAGGCCAAUGGGGCCAACAUGCUCAAUGGCCAUAGAAUGCUGACUGCUGGGACAGGAUGGGGAAAAUGAAAGUGGAAGGAGAUAGGAGGGAAAUGGGUGGGAUAUUGAACAGCAGCACUUCCUAUUUUGUUGCAGGCCCCACUUGUCAAUUGUUGAGAAGCAAGCACAACUGUGUUCCAUAUUUGACUAUGUCAAAACCUAACUCAUCUAUAUGGCUACACAGAAUUUUGUUCUGGAAGUUGGAGUGUGAAGAGAGAUCUACUGACAGUAAAAUCUGUUUAGUCAUUUAGUCGUGUAUGACUCUUCGUGACCCCAUGGACCAGAGCACACCAGGCACUCCUGUCUUCCAUUGCCUCCCGCAGUUUGGCCAAACUCAUGCUGGUAGCUUCGCGAACACUAUCCAACCAUCUCGUCCUCUGUCGUCCCCUUCUCCUUGUGCCCUCCAUCUUCUCCAACAUCAGGGUCUUUUCCAGGGAGUCUUCUCUUCUCAUGAGGUGGCCAAAGUAUUGGAGCCUCAGCUUCAGGAUCUGUACUUCCAGUGAGCACUCAGGGCUGAUUUCCUUCAGAAUGGAUAGGUUUGAUAUUCUUGCAGUCCAUGGGACUCUCAAGAGUCUCCUCCAGCACCAUAAUUCAAAAGCAUCAAUUCUUCGGCGAUCAGCCUUUUUUAUGGUCCAGCUUUUCACAGUAAAAUCUACCAACAGUAAAAGAGCCCAACUUGACCAUAGCAAAGGCCCAUCUAAUCUAGCAUCCUGUUUUCACAUUGUUCAACCAGGUGUUCACCUGGGAAGCUCACAAGCAGGAUUUGAGCAUUCUCCCCUGUACACACUUACCUGGGACAGGAGUGAGUCGUAUUGAAUCUAAUAGGCUUGGUCUUGAGUAGACAUGUAUAGCAUUACAGUUACAUGCUUACUCCAGAGUAAGUCCUACUGGACCACUGAGGCUUACUCUCAGGUAAGAGGGCAUAGGAUUGUAGACUUAUUUAGUGGCUAUUAUGUUUUAUUUCAGAUUUUGAAAACAAAGCAUAGGAUUUGAAAUUGUUUGGCAUGUGUAGAAUGAAAAAGCUAUGCAGAACAGUGAGCCUUGGUUUUGGAGACCACAGCCAAACAAGAAGAAUUCUCAGUCUGCGUCAAGUGGUAAAAUGAUGUUGUUUUUUGAUGCAGAAAGGUGCCUUCAAUUUGUGACACAAUAUAAAAAGAAGAUCUUGUUCCAACCUUGAGGGAGUAUCUCUUUGCUAUUUACAUUCCAUAUAUUCCCCAGUAGAUGUCUGAAUAUAAUAUUGUCCUUAAGAGUGAUUUUGCUGAAAGUUGUCAAAAGAAAUAGCCAAGGUUAUAGAGCAAAAUGUGUAGAUAAUGAACAGCAUCCUGUCAGCUGUAGGCAAACAUGUACUUAAACAAAUGCAUUCGACCCAGAAGGAGGCUUCAGUUUGUUAAAGAGGACACUUUCCAGCUGCGCUAUUUUGAGGAGCACAAUGAUGGCUGCAUUAAAAGAUUUCAAGCUGGCGCCUUAGGCAGCCAAUAGAGGGUUCUGCAUUUCCUCCAAAUAUUAUUUUACUCUAAAGAGUCUCCUUUUAUGGACCAACACAGUAGCUGCUGUAUAUGGUACAAGCUGUGGUUAGCACUGCCAAAGCCAUUAUAAAGCCUAAGUCUGAUGGGAAAAGGCCUUCCGGUUCUGGACCUUUAUUGCACUCUGCUUAGAGACUGCAGCAUUAAGCUGUUGAAAUAUACUGCUGAAAUUCAAGAAAAACACAGGAAAAACCCUAUGCCAAUUCUAGGGGAUGGAGGAGGAAUUUGAUUCAGUUCACAAUUUUUUUUUUUUUUUUUUUUUUAAUCAUAUUUAUUAAAGUUUCCAAAAAUAUAAAAAUACAAAGAAAAAAGACAAAAGAAAAAAGAUGUUUAAAAACCGUACUUUCAUUCCCUACUUUCUGGGACUCCCCCUCCCCCAAUUGUAUUCCCCUUUCCUUAAUUUGGUUCUACAAGCUCUCACUCCCAAUUUAAAGCUUAAUUUGUUUAACCCACUAUCCAGAUUGAAUUGUACAAAUCUUACCACCGUCCCACAUCAUUAACAGAAAAAGAACAAAGAUUUACCCCAAGAUCUACCCCAGUGCCUUCCACAAAUUCCCUUAUUUUUAAACACGUCCGAACAAAGUAAAAUAACAUUCAUAAGUUAUGUAAAGGACUAGAAACUAAGAGAUAAAUAACAAUUCAAAAGAUGGUUACACAGCCUUUGGAUUUCAAAUCUCCCCUUCCCCGGUUUGAAUUCCCCAUGUCCAUCAGUCUAUACAUUAUCAGCUUGGAAGUCUCAUUUCAUGACCAGAUUUCUCCCGAUUCCAUCUUGCCGGUUUUCUUUUAAUUUAUUAAUUUAAAUAAUAUUUAACUUCAAAUGUCCAAUCUAACAAAGGCCUUUAAUUUCCUUGAUCUUUACCACUCCUCCCGUUGUUCUUUCCGUGUCGUAAUCAGUCCUUUAUUCUUCUUAUUCCUCACUUUCUCAGGUUUCUUGUCCUGUUCAGCUGCUAAAACUAGUGUCUUUGCAGAGGUUUGUUAUUCAGGAACAAAAACUUACGUCCAGUCCCUUCCUUUCUUCAAUAAAAAAUUCCAUUGUCUUCCUCUGUAGACAAAAUACUCUUUCAGUUUUGCAGCUUUCCCAGAAGAUAACAAGUCCUGUACGAAUCCCAGGGUAUUUUUCCACUUACGACCGUUCUUGUAGUAUCCCGAAACCCCUCUAGGGGAUUGUAAUAACUUUGUAUCCUCUAAUCCAAAAGUCAAAUUGUUGCUUAUUUUCCAACAGUUUAUAUCCAUAUUAUAGCAAAUUGUAACAAAAUUAACCAGCAAGGUCCUCAUAACAAAGUCCUCUUUAUAUUCUCCAGCUUUGACAGCCACUUUGACAGCUGUCAAAGUCUCCGUCUCUCUUCACCAGGCUCCACGAAUCGCCCCGGUUCCCAGAGGGGGGGUUGCAUUUUUCUUCUCACCCUCCACUCUUCUCCUCCAGCACAUUUCUUUUAAUUUCCCAUCGUGAAAUUAAUGAUUUUUAUCAGAGAUAUACUUCCCUUUGGACCUUGGUUACCCAGUCCUUGUUUUGGAAUGCUUACAUUAGGGGGAUUGACUUCCUUUUAAAUCGCCCCGCUCGUGCCAAAUCCAAAAUUUUGAACCCGGUUUCCCAAUUACUCACGGGUUGUUGUUAAUAGUCCAAAUUUUCAAUGGAAGAAGUCAGCGCUCUCCGUCGAAUGGCAUGCGGCUGCGCUCGGCAGGGAAAGCAGUGGACUCAAAGCACCACGCCACUUCCCGGCACCCGAUCCGAAGCCUUUAAAAAGGCUCCUUCACGAGUCGGGAGGGCGCUAAUGGUGCAAGCCGAGUCACCCAUGUCCACGGACUCCGUGCCCGUGGUUUUAAGGGUCCCCGCGUCGCCGGCGCGGUAGGACCCAGCCCCUGCCGAGCAGACUCCCUCCGGAGCUCGGAGGGAGUCCGCCAUUCGGCGAUGGCGCUAACCCGGAAGUGAUUCAGUUCACAAUUAAAGGCAGACUGCCCUAAUUUGCAGUUUCUGAAACAAAACAAGAACUAACACGGAGCCAUCCUUAGAUAUCUGUAUUGUUUCCAAAUUAUGCAAUGGAGUUCUCAAGCCAAAUAAUGUGUAGAAAAAUGCAUAUACCAUGGUGAAGUGUGCAUAUCAAUGCAUACAGUACUGAAAAUGAGGCAUAAAAAGGCAUUAUAUGCUUUGGGGAAAUGUGUAUAUAUUUGUCAAAAAUGCAAUAAAAUUUAAAAUUAAGAGAAAUCUGCACUAAAACACUGAUGAAUGUUCAUAAGGACUUUAUUAUUUAAAAUUUGGAAACUGAUGUGGAAAUAUGGAAGGAGAAACUGAAAUGAAUAGAUGCACCUGUCCUUAGCCCCUUCUAACACAAUAUGAUUAUUCAAAACCCCUUUUCUCACUGCUGUUCUGUAUAUACAAUGCGCCCCUGCAGCAGGUUGAAGGAGGCAGUGUGGCUUGUUGGUGUCCAGGAUUUCAGCCUCUUCCUUCUCCUGGUUUUACCCUAAUAAUCAAUCAGCAUUCCAUGUUCACUGAGCAUAUUCAAUCCUCAUUUUUCCUAAAUACUUUUGGUACUUCUGCAAGGGGAAACCUUCACUUGGUACCUCUUGUGGGGGAGAUGCUGUGUUUGUCUCAUAAGCAAUGGUAGUCUCAGUCUGAACUUUGGAAAUAGUGGGAAUGCUAUGCUACAGCAACCAUAGGCACCAAUCUAGGUUUGCGGGGAGAAGACAUGCAAGCAGGGGUAGGAAGACUUAUCAAGGGGCUCAAGGAAUGCCUAUAUGUACUUUAAGAUGAAACCACAAAAGCAGUGCAUUUAAAAAUACCAUUUGUUUUAGGGGGUGGGUUAUACUUCUUAACAGACCAGGAAAAUAAACACAUCCAGAUGGCAUCUAUUUGGCAUCUAUGGGCUUCCCAAGAAGUCACCUAGCCAAACACUGAUCAGACUCAGACCUUCUUAGUGUCAGCAAGAUGGCAUCCUGUGCCUUCAGACCACAUUGUAGGAUCCUAUAUAAUUACAUAAUCUACACAGGAUUUUACAGAUGAAAAUCCUUGUAAAGUGAGCACAUUUGAUACGGAAACAAUGUAGCACAGCAAUGGGGUGGGAAAUCCUAAGAACCCUCUAAUUAACCUUCUUAACAACAUGAGGGAAGUUUUCUAAAAGCCACAUUACAAGAUGCAAACAAGUGCAUUUCAGCUUUUGCACCAACUGCAGAUUCUAAGUUUACCAUUAAAAAAACAAAGCCAUUUUUUUCUUUAAUAAAAAAGGCACUUUAUCCAACUCUUAUUACAGUCCAAAAGCAAAUAAUGCUAAUUAAAAAUGCACAUUAAAACAGGACUGAGUGUUUUCACAGGACAUUAUCAAGGUCAGGACAAAAGCAAUCAUCACUACAGAACUGAUCCCUUCAUUCAUUCAUUCAGCAGCGAUCAUGCAGAAUGUCCUUUGAAGCUAUGUCAUAAUAAGGAAUAUGUCAUCUUCCAGCCAAAGUUAAGGUUAUUCCAAUAGGUAUUUUGUUGGCCACUGUGAAGAUGGGAUGCUGGACCAGACUGGACAGUGUCCUAAUCCAGAAAGUUCUUCUUGGGUUCUUAUGGGAGUCCUGCAGGAUGAGCAUUUUUCAUGCUGUUGUUUCCUUGAAGGUGCUCAUUUUGUAUAGCACACUACAAUCAAGAUGGUGACAGCAGCCAAGGAACACCUAGUGCACACACUUCCAUCCAAGCAUAGUAAGAUUCUCCUGGAAAGCACACACAAAUAUGAAACACAAGGGGGUGGGAAUCCACAGAUACCAAUCUGGGUUUUAUCUAUGGAUGCUACUGCAUUUUUCUAUAGCUCUAGCAGCAUCUCAUGUACACUAGGUGAAAUCAGGACAUCGUAAGAGUUAAAAACUAGACAGGAAGUAACUAGACAGGUCCAAAUCCCCAAUCAGCCAUAAAGCCCACUUGGACCAGUCAUGAUACCAUAGCCUAAUUUGUCUCACAGUUCCGUUGUGAGAAUGCAGAAUACCUUGGUUCUCAAACUUAAUCUGUUCUGGAAAUCCUUUCCAAAACCAAAGCAUUCCAAAAUCAAGGCAUGUUUUCCCAUAGAAAGUAAUGCAAAAUGGAUUAAUGCAUUCCAGACUUUUAAAAACAACCCCUAGAACAGCAAUUUAACAUGAAUUUUACUAUCUAACAAGACCAUUGAUCCAUAAAAUGAAAGCUAUAAACAAAGUACUGUAGUCACACAAUCAAUCAGUAGCUGAACUGGGUUCCACACAGUUACAAAAACAAAACAAAAAGAGCCACAAAAACGCAAAAUAAAUAGCAAAAACAGAUAGACCUCAGUGUAACACUCAAAAUGGAGCAUGUUCAGCUUCCAGAAAAAGUUCGCAAACUGGAACACUUACUUCCAGGUUUGUAGUGUUUGGGUUCCAAGUUAUUUGAGUACCAAGGCGUUUGAGAACCAAGGUACCACUGUAACAUGGUGGAGGUGAUAAGAACCAUGUAUUGUCACUUUGAGCUCCUUUGGGGGAAAAUGGUAUUAAAAAUAAUAAUACAAGGCAAAGAAAGUGGAGGAAAACAUAGGAUUCAUAUGUCAAGCUGGAACUUUCCUGAGAGUGGAGAUUCCAUUCAUUUUCGGAAGAUGCAGCCCAGUGUUUCUAAGUUUCUUCCUUUUCUUCCUUGACUUUCCUUUUGGGUGCAAUAAUUACCCAGGCUUGCAAAUGGAUACUACAUCCAAGCUUGUGUAGUUAUGUAAUUAGGCUUUUCAGAGCCAUCCAGGGAAUCUAGACAUGCUCCUUCAUUAAAAGUAAUGACAGAGAUGUGUCAAAAUCCCCAUAGGUGCUUCUGGUAGAACAUCCCAGGAUGAGAGAAGCAUAGACUAAAAACAUGGUUACAGGAAAGGAGCAACCCUGAAACUUCCAAACCAACAUUCCACUAUUGUUUUAAAGCUGAACAAUAUGCCACAUUGUGGGGGGUGAAACCCCCAAAUAGUUUGUACCUUUAACCCCCCCCCCCAGCCUAUUGACAUCUACAAAGAGAUCCAUGUCAUCAGGUUGUGUUUCAAUUUUGGUUCAUGUAUAGAUUAGGCCUAGCAAUAAAAAAAACCAAACCCAGCAUAGGAUGCACAGGUAUAUCACAAUAAGCCAUGGUUAAUGGUUUACUGUGUGUGUGCCUGAGAGGGCAUGCAGGGAAGAAACUAACUACAAUCUCUAGCUUUGUGUUAUGCCUGAAUCAGGGAUUGUGGUUUGUAUCACAAAUCACAGUCAGUAAGCCAAGAACAAACCUUGGCUACAUAUCAUGGUUUGCUGGGAGCAAAACAAACCAUGACCCAUGGUUCAGAUGUAACACAAAUAUGAGGGCUGCGGUUUGUUUUCUCUGUGCACAAGCAAGCAGGAGUGAAAAAAGCCCUCUUAGGCACAUUUACAGUAAACCAUUCACUCCAGUUCACCAUGACAUAUGAAGUGGGUCAAUGAGUCUUGUGGCAGCUUAAAGACUAACAGAUUUAUUGUGAAAUAAGCUUUAGUGGACAGGAAGAACUGGCUGCUGCUGCAAUAAAUCUGUUAAGUUUUUUAGGUGCCACUCUGUGUUGCUGCUGCUGCAACAAACUAGCACAGCUACCACCUCUUGAAUUUGGAAAAGCAGUGUCUCUUACUCAGCCAUCAUCGUUCCUGGUCUAAGGUAGUUAACAGACAAAAGGAUCCCAACUAAAAUUGAUAUUAUUAAAUGGCAACCAGGAUUAGCUACUGCUUUAGAAACUACUUUUGCACAUUCCCAUGGCAAGUUUCCCAUCCCUUGACUCAGAACUCACCACCUGAGUCAAGACCAUUGACAGGUACAUUUCUUAACACCCACUCACCAUAGACAUAAACUGGAGAUGGGAAAACUGCCUUCACAGAGGCCAUGGCGCAAGUGGCAAGUCCCACUUUGAAGUAUGGCUAGGGUGAGUGGGGAUGAACCCAUCACAGUAAUUAGAACAAAGUCUACACUACUACUUAGUUGUAUUCCUUCCCCACUCAACCCCAGUAAUUAUGAUGCAUUUGAACACACAUGUAAAAGAAAGAAAUCAAAUUUAAAUUAGACAAUCAAACAGAAACAGAGAGUCAGACCACUGAUCCAUGUACCUCAGUACUGUCUAUGCCAGCCUUCACUAGCAUGUGUCAUGGGACAGGAGUGAGCUUUGCCUACUGAACAGCAGUCUGAAGGGGGAUAAGGCAGAGUGAUUCCACCAGCAGCUGAUCAAUCUUCACAGAGGAGAAGACACUGACGAGAACCAGCUGGCUGUGGCCAUCUUAAACAGUUCUCAGAAGCAGUCAGAUGCUGGAAACAAGGCCUGUAGUUUCCAGCCCUAUGUUGCUGCUUGCCAUCUGGAUUCCCUGAUCUCUGGACUAGCUCUGUGAUCUUCUGGAUUCCCUGACUUCUGGACUAUCUUGACUUCAUAUGUGGAUUCUGCUCUCAGGCAAGAGUUCCUUGGAGACUCCUAGCCCCUGCUUGCUCAGCAGCAGGACUCAGGUGGGCCAUGACACCAUGGUGCUCUCCAGAUGUUGUGGAUGAAAACACAGUGGCUGGGGUUGAUAUGAGUUGUUGGUCAAAACAUCUGGAGAGCACCAGGUUGACAAAGGUUGGUGUACACUGACAAAGGCAGCAGCUCUCCAGGUUUCAGAUGGGGGUCUUUUUAAUAAUAAUAAUAAUAAUAAUAAUAAUAAUAAUAAUAAUAAUAACAACAAUAAUAAUAAUAAUACCCCCAGCCACUCUGGGCAGCUCCCAGCAGAACACUAAAAAAAAAAUAAACUUCAAACAUUAAAAACUUUUUCAGUCAUAUCUGGAAGGAGAUAGAACCUGGAACCAUUGGCAUGCAAUGUCUAUGCUGUGCCUGUGGGAGCCUUUCUGUUUUUAUAUGAUGAAAUACCUUUUAUGCUUAAAGCUUUUUCUCUGGUCUUAAUCCACAGAGAGCACAGAAAUCCCCCAAUCAACCUCUUGCCCAGUUUCUAACACCCCAACGUAACACUUGGAAGAUAAAUAGAACAAUCUGCUUGAGUUGCAGUGUAUGACGUGAUCCUUUGACCCAGUUUGCUCACUGUUUGUUCCUAGAACAGGCGCCUCCAAUCCACAGGCCUAAAUGAACCAAGCAUGGAUCUUAAUUUAGCACCAAAACAAGAGAUAUUGGUUCUAACCUCCAAAACUAGACAAGAUCAAUGAGUUGGGCAAGGAUUAAAGCUGAAAUGUCCCACUGCUAAAAUAUUGUAAAGAGAUGAAUGAACAAACUUUAAUACUGCAAUGGAUAAAUUAUGUUGGAAUGACACAAAAUAAAGCAAUGCAUUUAAAUGCUUUAAUACAAUAAUAUAUCAGAUGUGGGGCAGGUAAAGAUGCAGGCACUGCCGAUCAAAUUGUGUGAGCAAAGAAGAAUGCAUCACCUGAUGCCAUGGUGAGGCCAGUUGUUCAGUAGGCAGUUGCUCACAUCCACAUAUCAAAAUGGCCUGUAGGGGUUGUGGGAGGUGAGAAUCUUGUGCGCCAGUUGGAAAAGGUUCCCCGACCCAUCUUAUAAUAUCUUCUUGACCUUGGGUGGCACUAUGGGGUGUGGGUCAGGAAGCACAAAAAUGUUCCCAGUGUUAAUAAACUUUAAGGCCGUGAAAGCAAUAUGAGAUUUCCACACCACCUGACCUCAAAGCUGCAUAAGAAGUAGCUCUGUCCAUUAAUGCUGUGCAAAUAUUGCAUUUUCAGUGUGCCACGGUUAAGGAUAAACACGGGAAGGGAAAAUAGAACCUGCCUUCUAAGUGAGUGCUGAAAGAGGGACAAAUUUACUGAACCGUUGGCUAAACAAACAUCCCCCCCCCCCGCCCGAAUUACCCUGUGAAUCACAGCAGAGCAAACUCGGCACAUUUAUUGCUUCGAAUGCUCACAGUCGAGAGGGUGUGUUAGUUCAUGUGUUGUGAGAAACUUUCCAUCAACUUGAUGCUUAUUGGAUCAGAGCCCUGGUGACUAUGAAUAGUCAAUUCCUCCUGUGUUAUUCUCUCCUUCCUCAACAGUACAGAGCAUUUGUGCCAGCCCUACCUUUACAGAGGUAACCAUUGUCGGCAGCAGAUUCUGGUGAUGGGGAAUGGUGGCAAGGUGUUGGAGGGCAGAGCCAUAUGACCUGCCCUCCAGCCCCUAAGCUAGCCCUAUUGCCAUCAGGUGCUGUGAGAAUGCUAUCCUGUCAUGUGAGUUGAACUUUGUUGUUGUUUAGUCAUGUCCGACUCUUCGUGACCCCAUGGACCAGAGCACGCCAAGCACUCCUGUCUUCCACUGCCUCCCGCAGUUUGGUCAGAUUCAUGCUGGUAGCUCGUCCUCUGUCGUCCCCUUCUCCUUGUGCCCUCCAUCUUUCCCAACAUCAGGGUCUUUUCCAGGGAGUCUUCUCUUCUCAUGAGGUGGCCAAAGUAUUGGAGCCUCAGCUUCAGGAUCUGUCCUUCCAGUGAGCACUCAGGGCUGAUUUCCUUCAGAAUGGAGAGGUUUGAUCUUCUUGCAGUCCAUGGGACUCUCAAGAGUCUCCUCCAGUACCAUAAUUCAAAAGCAUCAAUUCUUCGGCGAUCAGCCUUCUUUAUGGUCCAGCUCUCACUUCCAUACA
This is a non-coding RNA of Podarcis lilfordi (Lilford's wall lizard), 82108 nucleotides long. The record is from the annotation of a GenBank genome assembly. Lineage: Eukaryota; Metazoa; Chordata; Lepidosauria; Squamata; Lacertidae.